RNAcentral lists this long non-coding RNA (58511 nucleotides) under Cucumis sativus (cucumber). RNAcentral describes it as "long non-coding RNA (CSAT_LNC000685)". The record is from RNAcentral. Lineage: Eukaryota; Viridiplantae; Streptophyta; Magnoliopsida; Cucurbitales; Cucurbitaceae.
UUUUUUUUUUUUUUUUUUGGUGACUCUCAUAAAAUCCAUAGAUAUUCACAACAAACCAAUUUCAACAAACCCUAAAGAGAACUAUGUACAUAAAAGACAUGUCUCUAGAAACAAAAGCUAACGAGAAACUACUGUUCAACUUACUUUUCAUGGUUUAUAAACUUUAAGAAAGAUUAAAAAAAUAUAACAAGAUAUAUAUACACACCUUAUAUAGGACAUUAUGUAAUGGGAUAAUGAAGAAUAAGUUCAAUAAACUUUAAUGUACCCAAUCUACCAUAAACUUGAGUUCACUCAAAACCUUUAAGAAAAUGGACAAAUAGAAAUAUAAUCAAGCAAACAUAAUCAUUUUGUUAGGUACAUGCAAGAUAAACUAUUUCACACCAACAUAUAUAAUCAGUAUACAAAUGAAAUCUUUGAGUUUCACAAGCUAAACUCAAUUUAAACUUUGAACUAACAAGUCCAAACAAUUUUCAUUGUAAUUCAAUAGUUAAAAACGUACCUUGGAGCCCUUCCAACCCUAUCAAAAAAACAUAUAAGUCUAGCACUUUAACAAAUUUCUAGUGCAUAUUAUGCAUCUCAAUUGAUCACAACAAAAUAAGAUUGAACAUAAAUACUCAUAAGUAAUACCUUUUCAAUGUUGCAUUUUCAUAAAAAUUCAACAAGCAUUGUCACUCUCUCGAGGAUUCUUCAAGCCCUAAGUAUGAAAAAAUGUUCAAUGAUUAAAUCGUACUCCAUUUACAUGACAAUUUGACAAAGUUGAGUUAACCCCCCCCCCCCCCCCAAUUUCCAACACUAUUGUUGGAAAGGAACAACAAGAUCUUUCAAAGUAAGGAAAGAACUACUAUGAAGAUUUUAGAUGAUAUUAAUUCAAGCAAACGUUUAUAUACUACUAAUAUACCAUACUAAUUCGACUAAAACACUUUCAACGAGACUAGAAUUAUACAAAAUAUACUUUAAACCACAAUAGUUGAAUAUGUAUUUUUGGUAGGGAGGUAGACACUACUUACUUGAACAAAUAACGACAACGUCCUUGAAGUAAGAGGACUUUCUGCUAAUCCUCAAUUCAAUCAAUUAUUCAAAAUGUCAUAAGGUAGUCAUAGGAAGAAAAUAUAGUUUAAAAACGUUGAUAAAAAGUGGAGGUAAAAAAAGUGUAUAGGCUUAAGUUUCAAAAACUUAAAGCCAAAAACCAAAUAGAUAACAUACAGAAAUUCUCUUGGAAUGUGUAUAGGCUUAAGUUUCAAACUUAAAGCCAAAAACCAAAUAGAUAACAUACAGAAAUUCUCUUGGAAUGUGUAUAGGCUUAAGUUUCAACAUACACAUUCAUACCUUUCCAAUGUGUAUAACAUACAUCGCGGUUUAUGUUUCAAGCAGAGGGUGUAUUUCGACAUUUUCAAAUUUACUCCUCUUGGAAAGAUCUAGCAUGGUAAGUGGCAAAUAAAAUUCUACCAUACAAAAUAAAUCUUAAUUCACCAUCAUUUUUUUGUCUUUCCUUUCAAUAUAGAACAUGUAGUAAUUUUUGUUGCUACUAUCCUUAUUGUAAGAAAGGGAGAGAGAACAUACCUAUAAUUAUCAAUAAUCACUUCCCUCUAUCCUUCAAUCAAAGCAACUCAAUAGCAACCAUAAACAAAAUAUCAAUAGAAAAAUCAAAAGUACUAAAAUUCACUUGGAAUGCAUAGACAAACAAAAAGACCCUACACACCAUCAAAGUUUAAAAUCUCACAUUUCAUUUUUCAUUCUCUUUUUCUCAAAGCUUCAGCCCAUAGCCAUGACAUCUCCUUGGCCUUGAUUUCCUAAUUCGAACGAAAAAAAUCAAUCAAAAAUCAACCAAAUGCUUCAUUGAGGCAUUUCAUCAAACACAUUGUAAGCUACCAAAAUGUUUCAUCACAUAGCCAACCAUAAAGAAAAAAUGUAGAUUCAAAUUAGAAAAAUGAUUGUAAACAACAAUAUUGAAUAGGAUGGUAGACAAAACAAACACAUAUCUCAUAUAAAAGCAAAACUAUGAGGGAUGUUUUUCAUAAAAAGAACCAUCAAUAUAUCACAUUGUGGGUAAAAUGAAAGCAUUUGAAGUUAAUAUACUGUAUAAAUACAAACAAUAGAAAUAAUGGUUGAGAUUCACCAGUGAGUUCAGCGGUGCAAGGGGUGUUGGGUGGUUGCGUCGGCUGAAGGAGAGAAAGAGAGGGAUUUCGCGCAUUGUUGACAAAAGUCUAGUCUUUCCCGGCAUGCGUGAGAGAGGGAGAGAGAUGGUUAGCGGAAGGGGGAAAAUCGAAGAGGGGGACGUGUGGAUCUUCCACAGAGAAGAAAAGAAGAAGAGAAGAAGAAGAGAAGAAGAAGAAGAAGAGGAGGAGGUAGAGAAAGAGUUUUGGAGAUGUUUUAUUUUAAUAAAUAAAUUAUUUAAUGUUUUUAGAAUUAGGAAAAAAUCUGAUUUUAAUAAAUUUUUAUUUAAAAUAAAUUUUAUUUUAAUAAAUUAAAUAAAUAUUUUUUGUAUUUUAUGACAUCAAAUAACUGUUGCGGAAAGUAAAAUCCGAAAAAUUCCGUCUUUUUCCGCCAAAAACGCGGUUUUUUAGCUUUUGUGACAGUUUUUUCUUUUCUCCUUUCAAUUUGGGAUGUAUACAACUGUCAUAGUAGACCACUUUUCUACUAGUGCCACCACCCAAAAUUAGAAUAGAUCAUAAUUCUAGCCCAAAUUUCAGGUCAAUCAAUUUCAAAUUUAUAAAUUUUAAAAUCCAAAACAUAUCAUCAAGCAAAAUUAUUUUAUUAUUAUUAUUAUUAUACAUAUGAAAUAUCAAUAAAUAAAUCAUUCUUCGGGAAACAGUUAAAAAUAGAAAAGCAUUUACACUUGAAAAUGACAAAAUACUCUCCAUUCUCUAUUUGUCAUCUUUUAUUUAUAACAGCCUUAACAUUAAUAUCUAAUUUUAAUAAAUACCUAUUAUUCUCUAUGCUCUAUGAUUUCAUUGUAUUAUUUGUCUUGUCUUGGACAAGUUUGCACGGUGCUUUCUCUAUUAUUUUCUGAGUUCCCAAUCCUUCUUCUUGGGACGUGGCUCCGACCACAUAGAAGUGCUCUAGGAGCUAGUUGUGGAUUGAAUCAUGGGGUUUUUUUUUUCUCUUUGUAACCAUUAAAAUUUAGUAGAUUCAAACCUUCAAUCUCUAAAAUAUAAUAUUGAAAGAGCCUAAGCUUGCCAUUUUGAAAAAUGGACAUUUAGCAAAUCUAAAAAUAAACUUAAAAAUAAUAAACAAACCUUGGUUAGAAUUCUCGUCUAAGUGAAACGUUGAGGUAUAUUGUUUCCCCAUUUUAACAAAUACUUACUUAAUUAUUGAACCUUAAAAUUUGGACUUAGAAAAUGGAUGGUUAUAACUAAGCAUCUUUAGUUUACGGAUUUGACGAAAAAAGUGGAAUUGGGAUUGGAUACGAAAAUUAUAUAUAUGUAUAUAUUGAGUUAAUUAGUAGUCUUAUCUGUUAGAUUGCAUAUUAUGGCAAAUCAAGAGGUAGCAAACGUGGAAGUUGAGAUGAGAACUUCGGGAUUACGUAUUGUGGAAGUGAAGGAAGCAAAUAUAGAUUGUAUAUUCUGUCUUAUUUGUUAGAUUGCAUUUUAUAUAGACUGCAUGUUAGAUUGCAUUUUAUAUAGACUGCAUGUUAGAUUGCAUUUUAUAUAGACUGCAUAUUGCAUAUAUUAGGACAAUUCUGUCUAAUAGAGGCUGUUGGCACGUAAGAAAUUUUUACACCUAGAAUAAUUUAAAUGCAUGCAGAUUAGGUUUCGUGCUUGUGAUGCCAUUUUGGUAUUGGAUUGUUCACUUCUUUACAAGUUGGACGACUCUCCUACCACUCCCUUUAAUUUAUUCCCUUUAUCCUACCACUCCCUUUAUUCCCUUUAUCUCACUACAUGGAAUGCAACGUUUUUCUUCUCUACACUUCGUGACAUAAUGGUUAAUCUUUUCAUUUAUUUUUGUGUUAAAUUCUUUCUAGUUUUAUUUUAAUUUAGUUUUGCAAUAUGUGUGUUGGAGGGAGGAUGAUCAAAACUACAACACUAUACGCAUGUAUAUGCCCAUUUAAAUUUAUAUAUUUACUUGAUUUAAUUGUUUUUAAACUUACCAUACAAUACAGAAUUGAUACCAUAGCAAAUGGGACCUCACUUUCUUCUUAUUUCCAAGUAAAUAAAUAAAAAUAAUGAUCAAAUGUUAAAAUAAUACAAAUAUCGUCCCUCACUUUGUACAAUAGAUCCUAUUGUUGGGUCAGUUGCCAAAAUGUUGAUAAUUGGUUUCAUUUGAACAUAAGAAACCAAGAAAGGCAACAACAAAAAAAAUAUGUGUGUGGUUUCUUAAAUAAGACCAGACCCUUUUCUCUCUAUAAAAAAACUUACACCGAUCAUCAGUAUAACUCAUGUCUGUCUAGGCUAGCAACGCUCUAUCUAGGAAUCACACAACUACUCCAAGCACGGCUUCAUAUCAUUUAAAAUGACGAGCACAACGACGAAAAUGUGGUGUUCUGCAACUGAGGACAUGGUGUAGGAAAGACUGAAGUGCUAAAACCCGAGACAAAAGCACAAUGCCAUUUUGCGGAGGGAGUGAGACCGAGAAUGGUCACAUUUUUCAUACAUACACCGUCAUAUGAUGUGCCUGCAAUCCCGUAAAGAACCGGAGCCUUUGUCGAAUUUAAGCUCAUGAGAUUGGUAAUGAAAAUGCCCUUCACUUUAGGAACUGCCUUUGGAUCAAAUUGUUCAUCAGGAUGGUCAUUUGAGCCCCUGCUAAACCUUAUAGCCAUUUUCACUCUGUUCAUUACAAAGUUAGUUAUACUAACAUUUGCAAUGUAUCCUCCUCUACCUUGGUCGGAUUUGAUUCGAAUGCCUGCUGCCGAAUCCCAGACGUUUAAAUCCUCAAUUGUAAUGUUUGAUAUUCCACCUGACAUCUCACUUCCUAUUCCAACACCAGAACAGGUAGGGGUGGUGCCAGAAACUCGCCUUAUGACGAUAUUUGAGCUUGGGCGUGCAAGGUUGAUUCCAUAUUGAUCCCAACCACUCUUCACUGCUACUAGAUCAUCUCCGCUUUCGAUAUAACAGUCCUCGAUACAAACAUUGGUACUAGAAUCUACACCAUAAUAAAGAUGCAUUUGGAAUUUAGAUAACUCCAGCAUUGUUUUACAUUUAUUUCUCAUACCUCCUAGCUCCAAGAAAGAAGCAAAAUACCUGGAUCGAUACCAUCUGUGUUCGGGGCAUUGAGCGGAGCCAAGAUCGUCAUGUCUUUGAUAACAACAUUGCUGAAAUCAAACAAAAGUUCAAGAACCAGUAUAUAAUUGCAAAGAGUAGAUAAUUAUUGAAAAUGAAACCUGCAAUAGACAGGAUGAAUUGUCCAAAAGGGGGAAUUUUUGAAGGUGAGAUUGGAAAUGAGAAUAUUGUGAGAGUUGAUGAGCUCUACAAGAUGGCCCCUUGUGUGAUUUAAUGUUCUAUUCCACCAAAGCUCCCACCACAUCUUGCCUUGCCCAUCAAUGGUUCCAUUCUCUCCUGAAAAAACAACAUAAAAACUCAAUAGAUUUUCAUGAUUAAGAACAUUCUCGAACCCGAGUGCCGUCAAAGCUAAAUGAGAAGAAGAGUUCACACUAGUUCCAGUUUCGAUGCACAAAGCUAAUGUAGAUCAAAAGAUAUGAUCCCAUUUGAUACUUUUUUUAAGGUAGGUAGAACUUCUUAUUCCUAGUUUUUAUCACUGGACUCUACUCAUAUUCUUUUUAGUUCAACAAUAUGUAACGGUGAGUUUCAAACAUAUGACAUUUUGGUCAAAUUUAUAUAUGUUUUAACUAAAUGAGCUAUACUGAUCACAUUGGUGACCUAGUGGUAUUUGGCUAGGGUAAAAAACAAGAAAAUCAAAGAAAGAAAAUGGGUAAGUCAAGUUAGUCUUAGAAGGUAGAUCUUAAGCUUAAAAUUGAAAUACCUAACUUUUCUCAUCUCAAGUGACCCCUUAACAUAAAAUACUAUAAUGAUCUUCUCCACAACCAAAAUGUACUAAAAGGUCAAGUGCCCUUACAAAAAAAACUCCUUAUUGCCAAUUUCACUUUUAAAAACAGUUGAAAUGGUAUACCAAGAUUCAGUUCUUUAUCAUUCCCACCCCAAACAUAAAAACACACCAUAGAAAAUAAAGCAUGAUAUCUUGAGAGAGAGAAAUAAUAUUCUUAGAUCCUAAAUCCCUUUUUUUAAUUUUUAACAUUAUCAUGGUUCCCUAGCUAAUUGCUUAGUCAUGAUCAAAGUUUGAUUCCAUUACUUUACAAAACCCAAGAUAAGAAUCCUCAUGAAUAUAAAAUCCUAGCAAUGAAGAUGAAGCCAAAAACAAAAACAAAAAAAAAACAAAAAAAGAUAAAGAAAAGUGAAAGCACCUGUAAUUACAACAUUUGAAAGGGCAUUGCCAUGAAUAAGGCUGAUGUGUCUUCCUCCCAAUCUCUCUCUUCCUCUUCCAUAAGAAGGAAGUGGCUCUAUAAUGGGCCACUCAUCUGGAUCCUUUUUUUUUUUUUUUAAUUUCAAACAAAUAUUUAAUCAAGUGCACACUAAACUUUUGACAAUAACAUGCCACCAUGAUUUCUAAAAGCAAAGAUUUAUCAAUUCAUAAUUAACAAAUUUGAUUUGAUAAUUUAUUUUACUGAUCAAACCAAAGCUUAUUCAGUUUCAAAUAAUACCCAACAAAAAAAAAAAAGUCAACCAGUUAUCAUAAAAGCUCUGUUUCAUUUACACACCUUGGGGGAAGGAAUCACACUUUAAUUUUAUUUUAUUUUUUCUAAGGAAUUUUGUUAAUGGGAAAUCCCAAACACUAAUAUAAAUUAGCUUCAAAAGCACUAAUGAAUGCAUUAAAUGAUAAUUCAUAGUGCCAAUAAAUCAUUAGCAUAUACAACCUUUUUUUCUCAUAAUUUCACUGCUUUAUUAUUAUUUAUUAUCAUUACUUUUUUGGUUACAUACAACUUUACUUGUUUUAUUGCUUUUUUUUUUCUUUAAAAAAUAAUAUUAUUAUCAAUUCACAUUUUCACUAUAAAUAAGUUCAGAUAUUACAUUUUUCUUGCAUGCAAAAAUAUUUAUUAUCUUAUUAUUAUUUAAUCAAUUUGGAUGGAAAUAUUGGAUAUAUAUAUAUAUAAAUAUGGUGGAUCCCACUUGCUAUGUUUUUAGGUUUAAAAAUGCAAUAAGAACUUAGGUGACACCGCCAGAGUCAUCACUCUGAUUUUACCUUUUCUGCUAAGUUAUGAAAUCCCAUUUGUCAUUUUCUUCUUCACCAAAAUCACAAAGAAUUUGUCCUUUCCAAACUCAUUAAAACAAUAAAAAUAAAAUUCCCCAACAGUUUAAAAGAAACACCACACAAAGUCUUAAACACAUAAAUAUUUAAAACAAAAAAACAAAUUACAAAAGACAAGCUUAAAAUUACCAUUUAAUUUUCUAAUAACUAUUUAGUUUAACCGUAAGUAAUUUUAGGGGUUUAGGGUAAAAAAGAAAAAAACUGACCUGGGAGGCUAAAAUAAGAGCGCCACGUUGGAGAAAGAGGGUAAAAUUACUGGUGAGAUUAAAGCUGCCCGUGACCCAACUGCCCUUAGGGACGGUCAGUUUAGACCCGCCUUUGUCGCCGAACCGCCGCAUGUACUGAAUGGCCUUCCGAAACGCUUCCGUGUUGGAAGUCUUUCCGUCCCCUACUCCUCCGAAAUCCGUGAUCGACAUGACAACCCCCGCCGUAGCAUCUGGGCGGAAGAAGGCGGAGCAGGUGGGGAGUUGGAAAUCAGAGGGUGGGAGCCAGAAGGGGAAAGGGGGAGUUCUGGUGGCGAUUUGGAAGGUGAGGAUAGCGAGGAAGAUGAAGAGAAGGAGAAGGGAAGAACAGGAGGGAUUGAUCGGAGGGCCGAAAUAGAAUUUUGAUUUAUCACUGUCCAUUAAUGGAAAACCAAAUUACAAUAGAGAGAAGAAGAAGAAGAAGAAGAAAGAAGGGGUAGAGGUCUAGAAGGCAGGCUAGAACUGGAAGGGUGGACAAUGGACAUUGCGCUUCCGCAUGCUAAAUCUUUUCCCUUUUUUUUUUCUUUUUUGCUUUCUCUUCUACUUCUUUCUUUUUAAUAGUUUUUUUUUAAAUAUAAAAUUUUCAAAUUUAGUUAAUUACAAUUUGAUUUGAUUAUAAUAUUUAUGGAAGGUAUUUUCACAUUUUUAAAAAUAGAUUAGAUGAUGCUUUAAAUAGUUUGAAGUUUCAGCCCUACUAAUUUCCUAGUUUUGUUUUCAAAUUCCAUAAUUACCCUUACUUCAAUGCACUUAUUUUGUUUUUGCAAGAAGCAUGACACCUUUUGUUUAUUUUUUUUAUUCUAUACAAAAUUUCUAACAACAUUUAUAUAUAACCAAAUAUUACAAUAUAUUUAAUAUAUUAAACUACUAUUUAUCUUUAUUAUAAUAUAAAUAAACACAUAAUUUAUUUUAGGCUAUCAUGGUUGUGUACUAAGAACCAACGUUCAUUGGGUUUAAGUUCCUCACGUUCCAAUUUGUAUUAAAAAAAUUAAUGAAAAUUUUUUAUUACAUCAUUUUUUUAAAAUAUAUUUUUCUUAAUAUUUUUGAAAACUAUUUCAUUUAUUAUUUGAAAGUAAGCUAAAUUUGAAAUGUAUGCAUAUUAAAUAUGAGUGGAAUUUUAGACAGGGAGAGAGAGGACAUCAUUUAAAAAGUACUAAUUAAUUUCUUUGAUAGCCUUGUUAUUAUUAUUUUCUAAAACAGUUUGAUAGCGUUAUUAUUAUUUUUAUAGUCGGAAUUCUGGUUGUAGUAAAAGAACAAAAUUGUCAUUAAAAUUAAAAAAAAAAAGAGGGAGGGGGGCAAGAUGGUAAUUAUGUAAAAAGAAGCCGUGGGCUUUUGUUUGCUUAUUUGAAAAAGUGGGAUUAUGAGACGUGGCAAGUUUAGAGUGGUGUUAAUAUGGAGUGAUAGCGUGAUAGAUGUUGUAGAAGAAACCUAAUGGUGUAAAAAUGGAAGCCGCUAUUCACGGGCAUCUUUCAACCUUUCUCAUCAUUUCUUUUUCAUUCUAUUUUCUUUAUUUUAUUAUGUUUUCUCUUAAAUUAAUAAAAAAAAUAAAAUUUAUUUAUUUUAAUUUGAGAAUGUAUGAUGAUAAAUAAUUUUAAUUGGAAAAGGAACGAAACCUUUUGAAUUUAUUAAAAACGCAAACAAAUACUAAAUAAGAGAAUAUCAUAGUUAUAUAUAUAAAAAAAAAAAAUGCAACAUCUCCAUUAUUAUGAAACAUUUUAAAUGAAGCUAAAAGUAAAAUUAUGCAACAUUAAUGUAAAUUAUCUCAACUUCAAAUGACAUUUGAACCAAUGUUUGAUUUUAGAAUUAAUAUUAUAUAUAUUUUUAAAUAGAAAAUUUAAUUUGAUUUAUAGUUCCAAGAGAUGCCUUCCUAAAAUGAUUGUUUAUUUACUUGUACCAAUUGAAGCCCUAGUUUUAAUUUAAAUUUACUAUCAAACAAAUAAUUAGGAUCAGAACACAUUUCAAGUAAAAAUAAAAAUGUACUUUUCCAUUAUUUUUCUUUCAAAUGUACAAAAGUCUACUUUUUUGGUGCCAUAUGUCUAUAACUAGUAAAGGUAAAUAAAAUAUAAAAAAAAAAGGAAAAAAAUAUUAAAAUUUGUUUGAAAAUUUUGUGUAAUUUCAUUUAUGAAUAUGUUUACAUACAAAAUUAGUUAUUUGCAAAAGAAAUUGAUUUCGUCUUCUAAAAUGUUAAAAGUUUUUUUUUUCAAUAACAAAAGAUAGUCCAUUAAUAAUUAACAUAGGACUAAAAGAAUGAACUAUGGUAAUAUUUUGAUAUUUUUUAUUCUCAUGUAUAAAAAUUUGAAAAGUGAGGAUAUAAAGAGUUAUGAAAAAUGGUAUUUUGAUAUAGUUUCUACCUAAUACCUUCUCUCAUUCUUUUAAAUUUGAAUCCAUCUAAUUGUACGUUGUUUUAAGCUUUUCAGUUGAAGUUACUAUUUUUUAUCAAACCUAGAUUAACCCUUUGAUUAUAUAUUUUCUAAUAGAAUUAGAUGAAUUAGAGAGAAAAAUGAAAAACAAAAAACCACAGCCAAUGUUUUAUUAGUUAUGUUUUGCAAUAUUCAUCAUGAACUUAUAUAACCUUGCAAUUUAGUACAAUUUAAUUGAAGCUUUUCUGUGGUUGUCUUACCAAUCAAUCCAUUGGCUGAGUUGACACCCGAGUUAAGGGCGACAUCGGUAGAUGACUCGGAAUUUUCAUUCCCAAUUCCCUUUUCAAAUUCUAUAACCUUCGUCACCACGAACAAUUUGCAAUAGAUACGAAACCAAGAUCAGGGUCUUCUUAAUUUUCCUUCUAUCUUUCUUUUUCCCCUUCAUUGGACGCGCCAUCAAUUCUACAUUGGAUUGCAGCAUUUGGGUAUUAAAUUUUGAUCUGUUUUUACGGGAUGUCAUGUUCGAUUUCAUUGUGAUUCAUUCAAUUCCAUUUCUGUCGCAUGUUUUCGUAUCUCUUUGGUAAUGGUGCAUGCUGUUUUGCAUUUGUUGAAUCAGCUGACAUUUGGGUUUUCUUUUUCUUUGAUUAGGUACGUGAAUCGGGUAGCGAUCUUGUUUUUAAAAAUUGUUGAUUGGGUUGGAGCCAUUGGAGGACGGAUUUGAUGGAUUCGACGUCAAACCAAACCGAGUUUGAUUACUUGUUCAAGUUGUUGAUGAUUGGGGACUCUGGGGUUGGAAAAAGUAGUCUGCUUUUAAGUUUCACUUCCGAUAACUUUGAAGAUCUCUCACCGACGAUCGGUUAGUUUUGCUAUACGGAUCAGAUUUGAAGUAUUAGUUUGGAAUUUCCUUUUUUGCUUUUGUGGGAUCUUGCGCAUUCUUUUUGAAAAUGAGCUUAGACAAAUCGGUUUUGUUGUUUGCUGCGGAAUAUUGGUUCAUCAUUUUAAAGAAACAUGUGGAAAGACAAUGAUAUACUUUUGCUGAAUAUUGGUUCAUCAUUUUCACUUUCACCUUCACCUUCUGCAUGGGAUUGAGAUGAGAUUGAGGGCAAAAAAUUAAAUGAAAGGGAAAGUUGAGAGGACCAAGAUUGAGAGAGGCAAUUAAUCUUAACCGUAUUUCAUCAAGAGAAGAAUGAAGCUCUUAGAUAAUCAGGUCAGGUGUCAUUUUUUUAGGACAGUGUAAGGAACUUAGCUAUAAUCGUAUCUGAGAAACUAAAAUGAGAAGUCAUGAAAGAGGUAAUUUGUGCAUUAAUUUCUAAUGGAAAAUACUAUAUUUCAAUGUAAAUAUGUAUUGUAUACUUUCAGGUAUACAAUGAAAAGUUCAUUUUCUUUGUAAUAUUAUAUAUAUAUACACACACUGUAUACUUUCUACCCGCUCUAUUAUCACUGGUCAUCUAUACUUUUGCAUUCUGUUCAGUACUUACUGACCCUGUGUAAAUCUAGGCAUAUGCUCAUCGUCCUACUGUGGGGCUAUUAGUAGAAUAGAUUUCCUUUUACCUGUGUAAGUUUGGUUGAAUUUCAAACCGCAUAGCUGAAAUUUUGGAUGUUCUCUUUCUUAUUAAAACAUUAUUAACAAAAUUGAGAAUUUAAAAUGAUUUUGAUUAUAAAUCCUACGUCUGCAUGUUUAAUUGUGCUGGUUUGCUUGUUUAAAAUGGAAAACGGCACAAGCCUUGCUAACUUCUUAAUUUGCCUUGCAAUGGCAUGUAACCAUCAAUAGACUAGAAAUGACUUUUAAUUAAUUGGUUGUUUUUGUGCGCAGGUGUGGAUUUUAAGGUAAAGUAUGUUACUGCUGGUGGUAAAAAGCUGAAGCUUGCAAUUUGGGAUACUGGUAAUUAAGCUUCUCCACACACAUAAAUAGGCUUCUUCUUCCUCCAUUUUUAUUUUUGAGAGGGCGUCUAUUCUAUUUUCCACACAUGCAAGAUGUAUGCUUUGGCAGAGAAGCACCAAACGGCUAAGUUAGAUAAUUAAUUUACAAAAAGAUAUUGCUUAGCUAAUUAUAUAAGCAGCUGGACGGUAUACUAAAUUAUAAAUACAUUGAGGCUUGGCCAUUUGCGUAGCUUGUCCUUUGUUCACCAGCUCAAAGUUGACUUUUCCUUCAUGGUCCGGCAAUCUAUGCAGUAAUCCUCGAUUCGGCACAGUUUUCUCCUGUUUUGAAUGUAGAAGCUAGAAAAUUUUGUUACCAAAUCUUUGAGGCAUUAAAUAAAUGGAUGAGAAGACAAUAAAUUUAACCAAUUGACAAAUAGAUCUGGAAGGUGAAAACGGAUGCUAACUGUUGACCAUAAGUGUGCCUGGAUGAUGGUUCUGCUGUGCAGAAAAAUGCAACAUGAAUGAACUUUUCACGUUCAUGUAUAGAACUUUGUUGAACCUGCAGCCGGCUAGAGCUUUUUCAUCAAGAUUAGAAACUUGUUCAUAUUUGUGUUUGAAUUAAAUUUGGAUCUUGACCUAACAGACUAAGAAAUUGCUCAAAGGAUUGUACAUGCUUAUUCUAAUUCUUAACUGUUAUCCAGUGGUCCUAGUGCUGUGAAUUAUAAAGAUAAUAUAGUUGUUCUUGUUGAUUAGCCAUGAUGUAUUUGAUGGUACUAGGGUAUUACUUCCUAUAUUUUCUUGUAAUGAAUCUGUAUGAAAGAAAUCUGGUUUACCACAUCUCCAAACUAUGCAUCUUGUAGAAUCUAACUCAAUGUUCAAUCGUACAGCUGGGCAGGAGAGAUUCAGAACACUGACUAGUUCAUACUACAGAGGUGCUCAAGGGAUCAUUAUGGGUGCGUUCUACUCCCUUCUUUAUUUGAUUGUUUUAAAGAGAAGAAAUUCUUUGCUUGGCAUAAAUGUUAAAUUUCUCAGCUGUGUUUAGUUUAAACGCAUUCAUGAUUUUAUCAAAUGAUAAGUUGUUCAUUUGUUUGGCCGUCCAAUAUUAUUCUAUUGCCUUUUGUAUUAUGUUAUCUUGAUUAUGACAUCAAAUAUUAACUGUCAGUUUAUGAUGUAACGAGGAGAGACACGUUUACAAACCUUUCUGAGGUAUGGGCAAAGGAAAUAGAUCUAUAUUCAACCAAUCAAGAUUGCAUCAAGAUGCUUGUUGGAAACAAAGUUGAUAAGGUAAGCGUCUUCAACUUCCAUUUGAAAUUUUCCAUUCACCUGAAUUUGGUUACUCUAACAUUUGUAUAGAUGUCGAUUAAUUGUUCAAGUGUAUGGUGAACUGAAAUUCAUAUUCCAAAGAGUUUUCAGGUUAAUUACCAAUAACAUAUUGAUAAUUUAAGAACCGAUUAAAUGAGUUAUGAAUAUCAAAGCUUUUUCCGUAUGAGUUUGUUAGGUAUUCAAGCUGUUAUUUACUACUAUUAUUAGAAAGCUUAGAAGAUGGCCUAAUGGUAAAAACGGAGACAUAGUCUGAAUAACUAACUAAGAGGUCAUGGGUUCAAUACAUGGUGGAAUUAAUUUCCUACAUGUUAUCUUGACACCCAGAUGUUGUAGGGUCAGGCGGGUUGUUCCGUGAGAAUAGUCGAGGUGCUCGUAAGCUUUCCCGGACACUCACGGUUAUAAGAAAAAGAAUUAGAAAGCUUAGAAGAGUGUUGAAACACUGUACAAAUGAAAUCUAACUUCUAGGUCUGGCUCAUCUCCACGCACAAAGCCUAUCCUAAAUUAUGACUCAAGAAACCAAACUUCCAAUAGGAAGAACAUAAAAACAAAAAGGCAUGUGCGAAAUACACUAAAUGUGAAGUUCAGGUUUUUGAGAUUCUUUUAAAUUUCUUAUGAUAAUGUUUUUCAUUGUCUGCAUCUAACUUACUUUUUAUCUGGAAUUUUAUUCUUCAGGAAAGUUAUAGGACAGUAACCAAGAAAGAGGGAAUUGACAUGGCUAGGGAAUAUGGUUGUCUUUUUACAGAAUGCAGUGCCAAAACUCGGGUUAAUGUACAGCAGUGCUUUGAAGAACUUGUUUUAAAGGUAGCAAUUUCAGUUUAGUAUUACUGUUGGUUCAUUUAUUGGUCAAGGGAUUGAUAUUGAUUGGUGAGUAGCAGGAACAUGGUGUUUCCCUGUUGUAAUUGUAACAGUCACAUUUCUGAUAUUUUUUAAAAGAUAAAAGCAAUCACAUUCCUGGUAUAUUCAUAAAUAGGUUAAGGCAGUGAAAAAUUUUGAACCCUCUUGAAUAGUCAUAUUUUAACGGCUAAAAUUUUCCUCUUCCUUUUUCCCAUUUUAAGAUUUAGAAAUAUCCUGCAAACUCACUGAAUGUUGCUUGGACGAUUAAAACAUGAUGAUAACGAUUCUUAUAUACAGAUUCUUGAUACGCCCAGCCUUUUGUCUGAAGGCUCUAAAGGAGUGAGAAGGAACAUCUUCAAGGAAAAACCUCCACAGUCUGAUGCAUCCACGAGCAGUUGUUGCUGAAAUUGAUUCAUUGUCUCUAACUACAUUUGCUGGUUGUUUCUACAUUGUUGUAAAACUACAGUAGAGGAGCAUGGUGUUAUAGCUUUUAUUUGUCUCACUCUCACAAAUUACCUUACAAAUUGAAAAGGGUGGUUUUGUCUUCUUGCUGGCUUUCUUGUACAGGGAAAAAUUGAAAUGGAAAUAUAUGAUACAUGAUUUCAGUCUUUCUUGCUUUAAUUUAGUUGCUGUCCUCUGGACUUUUGUUUUGUUUCUAUACACUGAGUCAUAGAUUCAGUACGAUUAAAAGAUGAUUCUUGUUAAUGUAAGAGCUGGGGGGAGGGGGGUUGGGAAGAAGUGUCCCACCUGCAAGUGUUUAAUUGAAGGGCAUAUUUGGAUGACUUUUAAGGGGUUAUAAAAGGGUUCAAGGAAAAUCCAAAUAGGUCCUCAUCCGACUCAAGUGGGGUUGAUUUGAAGUCGAGUUGGGCUUUGUGACGGAAAGGAAGAACAACCCCGUUUGGUUGUAUAUGCAUAAAUUUAGCGAUCUAAUAAAUAGGAUCUUCUUUUACCGGUUACUCGUUUCUUUCACCGGUUCAUGGAAGGUAACCGCUAGAUUUGUUUUUUAGAUGGAGAAAUAAAAACCACUUGUUAGGGGCUUCUUUUUAUUGAACUUAUAAAGUUGGAGAAUGGUGUGACUAAAGGUAUCAGCUCGGUAUGUGUUUGUUACAGUCGAGACGUUAAUAAACUUAAAUUCUUGAAACGUUGAAGAGGUUCUUUUGAUUUCCUUUUAUGGAAGGUAUAUCAAGAAUGUAAAUAUUCUGAUUGAUUUGUGGAAACCUUUGAGUUCAUUAUGUAUGGUAAACAAAGUGAAUGUUGAUGGUAGUAGUAAAUGAGAUCAAAGUUUAUGAUAUGCUUUUCAAGAGAAGAAUGAUGGUAGUAGUGACCAAGAAAGAUCAAAGUUUAUUUCUCUCGUUGAUGCCGUAUAAAAAACAUUGUAAAAGUAGUAUGCUCCAAAAUUGGAAAAUAUAAGAGUUCUAUAAAAUGUUCUUGGCCAAGAAAAUGUGAAUAAAAAAUUCAAUUAAAUCGAAACAGUCCUUAAAUCUAUCAAAAUGUGAAAAAUUCUCAAUCUCUCACAAGUAUUGAAAACUCAAGGUUUUAAUUGAUGUUGGUUAGGUUCCUAAUAGUAAAUACUCUAGGACUCCGAUGUACAUCUUUAUGAUUAUGUUGUGUUUAAGGAAGAGAUUGAAAGACACAUACAAAAUGUAUCACCAACAAGGAUCAUCUAAUCCAAUAUGAGCCCUUACUUCAACCUAGUGUUGUUAGUCAAGAAAAAAAGACAUGAUUUGACGUUUUUGUGUUAUUAUAGAGCUUUGAAGGAAGCCAUUGUUCCACGUAGAUUUUCAAUCCUUGUCAUUGAGAAUUGCUAGAUGUUACAUAAGUCUUUCAUGUAUUAUAUGUUAGACCACAAAUUUGACUAUUUACAUCCAUAGAGGUUACUAUAAAUUUCUUGUGAUGCGUUUGAGUUAAAAAAGAACACUUCAACCACUUUUUAAUCUACGAUGAAUCAAAGUAUUUAUACAUGUUAUGUUUUUGAUAAAACGUCUUAUAGUUUUGUUUGAAGAUAUAUUGAUGUAUAGCCUCAACUUGAGACCCACGUAAUAUCCUCGGCCACAAUUUUCUAUUAGCAAACAUGAAAGAAAUGCAAGUGUGAGGAAAGUUGUGUGUGGAUCUAACUAUUCAUAAAUGGUUUGUGAAAGCAUUGGACGUGGAAACCAUUAAAAAAAGGUCAAAGAAGAUGAAUAUCUGUGUAAGAUUUGAGUGGAGUGGCACGAUGAUUCUCAAUCCCAACUUUUUUUUACUUUUUUUUAUUUGUCUUUGACACUUUUCUCCCUAAUUCUUCCCAAUUUUGGAGCAAUCUAGCUUAAUCUAGCUUAAUCUUUUGAAGAUAUUUGAAUCAAGAAUGAUGUUGCGAAUUUCAAAAAAUGAUAAAAUUUAGAUAGUUGUAAACUCUAAGCUAUGAGUAUAUAAUGUGAGAAGUUGACAAGACAUAAAAUUGAUAUAUUUUAGUCACGGACUCAAUAACUCUUUAGACCAAACAAGGAGUGUAGCUCACAAGUCGAAUCUUUCUAAUUCUCUCCUCUUCAUACCUUAACUUUUUGGCCUAAACACCUCGGUAAGUGCUUGCAUAUGUAUCGCUUUAUUUCUAUGUCACAUAUUAGACUCUUUCGACCACUACCCAUUAGUCCAUAACUAAUUUGAAAUGAUAUCUUUUAAGGAUUUCAUUGACAUGGGCUCCAUAGACACAUCACACAAAUGGAAAGGCUAAUUCUAUGUCUAAGACAAGGUGGCUCUCACCACCCGGGUAUUGUUAAGCUCUACUAGAAAAUAAGAUGUGAUUUGAAUUUAAAUCAAAGUUGAAAGAGAUUGUUACCUUCCCAAAUUGGUAGAAAUUUUGGUUGUAUUUUGUUUGAAGGUGAUCAAAAUAUCAAAAAAGAACCUUAGAUGUUCAUUCCUCAAGUGCUCAUAAAUUACAUUGAUUCAUCUUACAUAUUACACUUAGAAACAGGUCAUAAUAGCAUUUAAAUCUAAAUAAACAUAGGGAAGUAAGAAGAAUAAAAGUUCGAAAAUGAGAAAAAAAGAAAUACACAAUUUGAUUCCAAAAUUAUAUCUAAAGUAUAAGCAAUUUAGUAUGGAAAAUAUGAAAAUAAGGCUGAAGUUUUGCCACCAAAACAAACCAACAGCCAUGGGUUCUACAACUGCAAGACUGCUGAUUCCUCAUCUUCUUCUUCCCUCUUCUUCUUCUUCUUCUCACAAUCCAUCAACAAACACUCGCACCAAAUCUUCAAAACCCCUUUCAUUUCCCAACCAUAAUUCAUUACCAACCAGGCGUUUGUUGCUUUUCUCCCUCCCCAUAGCCACUGCCUUUCUUCUCCCAAUUCCGGGCAAUCCAAUUCAACCCAGUUCUUCCUUUGCUGUGGAGAGCUUUGACCCUGUCAGCCGUUCCGAGAAAGAUGCCAGUGCCGCCAUUUCACGAAGAGUAUCUGAAGCUGUGGAGCUUCUCGAUAAAGGCAGGGAGUUGCAAGCUCUUGGUGAUUUCAAUCAAGCUCUUCUCUACUUCACUCAGGUUUGUACUAAUUUUGCAUCUUCGAAUUCGUAGAUUUAACGUCGAGUCCCCAAUAAUUUAAACAAUGAUAAGUUAUAGAAUUGUUGAGGAUUGAUGCUUAGCUGAAUUUUUCCAUUCUUUAGAGUCAACUAAGUUUUAGAUGUAAAGUUCUUGUGAUGGACAUCGUGUUAUCAGAUAGCAAUGGCUUUUUUCCAAAAACAAAUUAACAGGAAAAUUUUCAGAAAAAUUAAUAUGCUCUGGAGUGUUGUUAGUUUAUGUUAUUGUAUCUAUAAAUCUAAAAUGUAUGUUGGACAAAGCAUAUCAACAAAAAGAAACCUUUUAGGAAAUCCUGCAUGCAGGAUCUGGUGCAUAAAAGUAAGGCAUAUUAUCCACAAAUGAUUUACUUAUCUGACUUUAUGGAUAAUUCCCCAAUAUAUUUUGGCGACCCAUUGGGAUGUUAUUAGUCUUUUCCACCCACAUUUGGUGUGAUUAUGCGAUUUACCUAGUUGGAAUUUUCAAGUCUUAAGCAUACUGAUGGGUUUUCAGCUGAAUGGAUUAAACCAUUUCUUACAAAAUGUCAAAAUCGUGAAGAUUUGUGGAAAGGGUACUUGUCUUUUUUGUUUUCAGAUAAGUUGUAUGUAAGGAACUUUCUUGUAAGACAUAAGAUCCACGUAUUUUUUAAGGCAGUUCUAUGAAUGGAAUUUUGGAGGCCCAUUUGGGUGUGGUUUGUUAGAUCCAUAUGUUCUAAUCACGAGUGACUUAACUUAACAACACAGUUCUGUCACUAUCCAGAUAGAAGAAUGAGAAAACUAUUAUGUUUUUCGUUUUUAAUCGUGUUUGAGACUAGGAUCCGCGGUGGAUCAUUAUAUUACUGAUCUUCAGAAAUAUUCACUACUUCAAUUUGGAUUUGCUGUAGGCUUCAAAACAUGCAACAUGAAAUUACUUUCUGAUUUCUAAACACCUGUCUCGCAUAGACAAAAAUUCUAUAGCCUCUAAAUACUGAGUGUUCCUGAGGUUCAGGUAGGGGGCGACAAAACUUUGAUUAUAAACUUUUUUUAUUAUUUAUUUUGCUGAAGAAAACUCAAAACGAAAAGUGUUUAGCAUGUGACGAGAAGACUUCAGAUUCCUUUCCCUUUGAAGCUCAUAUUCAAUCUGCACUCCUCAUUUAAUUGAGAGAAAUUAUUUAACUAUUGAUUUAUUUGUCAAGUCAACGUAUUUUGAGUGUUAGUUCUUAUUAAAAAUUUGAUUUUAGUUCUUUUCUAAUUUCAGGUAAUUGAUAAAUAUAAAGAUUUUGCUUUCUCGGAUUAUGCCCGAGUAGGCAGAGCAUUGGCCCUGUACGAGAUUGGUGACCGAGAAGAAGCCAUUGCAGAGAUGGAGGAUGUUUCCAUAUCAUUGAAGGGAUAUCCAGGUACUUGAAUAAAUUUUGCACAAAUUUUGGGUUCUAGACGUACAGAUUGAAGAGGGUAUCACGUAGAUGCAGUGCAACAACAGUUUUAGCUAGAGAAAGAGACUUUAACAUACAGUAUACAAGUACUUGAGAAUAUAUAUAUAUAUAUUUAAAUGAUUCUUCAAACAAUUUUCCUGAGGUAAAAGUUUAGUUAAAUUAUAUGUUUAGUUCAUAAAUUUUGAGGUUUGUGUUCAUUUUAGUUCUUUAGCUUUCAAUAGUCGGUUAAAUUUUAAAAUAAUUUAUUCAAGUAAAGGUCAAAAUUGCAACUUGAAAGUGAGAGUUUAAGAUGAAAAUGGAUGCAUAUUGUUUAGAGUUAAAAGUAGAUGGAUGAUUAAGGCUAUGAUGGCAUAAUUGAAUCGUGCCAAGGAGCUUGGAUGCAACGCAAAUAACUAUAGAUAUGGGUCAUGGAUGUGUUACCAACAUAAUUAAUGCCAUUUAAAAAAGAGUCAAUAGUAUGCACAGGAUAAUUUUAUACAUUCAUGGGUUUGAGGUAUGCAAAAGUUUAUUUAUUUUUAUGUUAUAUAUCUAUUUAGGAUGCUCAACCAGUGUUUGAUACAUAUCUAACAAAUGUGGACUAGUAUUUAUUUGUACAAUUAGUGUCAAAUGCAUUUAUUGUAGUUACAAGAGUUCUAUGCUUGUAUUCUUUCUCUAUCAUUUUCUGGUGUGGUUGGAUUUUGUAAAACAUCAUUGAAUGUGGAUUGAAAUUUUGACUGCUCUCUCGAAGCUAUGUAUAGCAAGCCACCUAGAAUCUAAAAGAUCAUAAUGUUUAACAGUAGUACUCGACAGUUGGUGUCUUUUCUCUUACAUUAUGUGGCCAUAAUGAAUCAUGUGUAGUACAUAGUACUUACUGGCAUUUAUGUACCGGUAUAUUGUUUUGCAGAAGUGCAUGCGGCAUUGGCUGCAGCUUUAUACGUGGAUAAGCAUGCUGCAUUGCUGGCUGAAAAUCAAUUCACCAUUGCAACCUUGCUUGAUCCUCACUAUGUGGAUAUCUCGUAUGUGAAAGAAACAAAGCACUGGCCUCCUAGUUUGAUCAGUUCUUUGCAACAUUUCUUAACACUUUCUUAGACAUUUGUAAUAAAAUAUAUACAGUUUCUGUCAUAAAAAACUCAAUUCCUUGUUUUGUAAGUGCACAAAAUUUAAUACACUUUAAACAUCCAUGUAAUUAUUAGUAGAAAUAUAGUUUAUGUUUACUCUCUUAUCCCCUUUGACUUGUAACAUAAAUUCAUUUCUUCAUUUAAACUUACCUGAUGCUCAUCCUCAUUCAUGUUCUGAGUCUAUUCAAUGCACCUUCUUUAUUGACGGAGGAUACAAUGAUGGUUUUGCUAGUUUUAUACCAUUGGAUAUAAGUAAGUGAAAUUACAAAACAUUUUUUGUAUUGGAAUCUUGAAUCUAUAAUUGAGUCAACUUCAUUCAUAUUUGUGUUAUUGAACUAAUCCUAGAAAUUGGACAGAAACUUUGAACACUUGAGCUGGAUAAUGGAUGUAUCAGAAUUGUCCUUAAUUAACCAAGGUUGAUUGACCUCUACAAGACAAUGGAAGUCACCAUUUAGGAAGGCUUUUCUUUCACGCUGAAAAGUCUUUGCUGUGACUCUGCACUCAUUUUUGUACUUUUAGUGCUUUCAUAUUAACUUUUUAAAUGGUGAGACCACAAUACUUUGUCCUAGAGUAACUAUAGGUCUUUAGUGGGUCCUCAUAUUAAUAAAAAAAAAAAAAAAUUGCUCUUUUAAUGCCAUUCUGGUGUUCAUAAAAUGCUUUCACACAUGGAAAUUUUCCCACUUCUUCAAGAAAGAUCACAGAAAAUAUUUUGCCACAAGUAACUUCUGGUUUGUAUAACCACAUCUUUCAAAUCAGCCUUCUCUUUCUGAUUUUUCAAUUAUUUAUAGUUUUGAUGGUUUUUUUGGGCAAGGUAAAGUCCCAUCAGAAGUACCUGCCAGUAAUUGCAACUAUUUUAGAAAGAUGCUGGGGAUUCAGAAUUCUGAUGUGCUCUCAUUCAUUCAAGCUAAAUGCCAUUGCUGACAGGCAAGCAGUGAAGUGCUUCCAGCAAAUUGAGUGGGCCAUCAAGCAUGUGCUUUGCCCCUGCCUUUCUAAAUCAUAUGCAAAUCUCUGCAGUUACUCAUACUAUUAUUAAGUUGUAAAGUAUUGAACACUUGUCAUGAUUAUUAAUCAGUUGUAUCAUGACAUUUACAGGCUUUCAAUUCUGAUGCUCAUAUUGGACAUGGGAGGCUUAUUUACACAUCAUCAAUGGCUCUGAUUGAGCCUCAGGUUCACUUAAUCCAAUCUGCUUUAUUGAUUUUCUUUUAUCAAAUCAAAUCAUACCAAAAUUUGGAUUGUGAACAUUUGAUUAAUGAGAAAGCUAGGUAUAUUAUAAUUAAAGUUUUUCCAAUCUGAAUAUAAUGAUACUGAAAUGCAUUUGCAUGUGAUUAAAAAUCUCCAAUGAGUGAAUUUUUUCUAUACUUGAUUGUGUACACUACUAGAUAUUUCUUCCAUAGCCAAUCAAUUUUGCUGGCUACAAUGUAAAGAUUCACAUUUGAAAGGGAAAAAAAAAGGUCCCAAAAGGGUUGAGGGAUAGAAUAUUAUUAUCACACAUUACAUAUUCCUUUUGUCCUCAACCCACUUGGAUCUAAGAAGCUUGAGUAGGAUUCUUGCCUUUGUUUUGGUUUUUGCACAACACUGACUUUGCAGAAGCAGAAGUAAUUGACUCAAAACUCCACCUCUAAUGGCCUUUUCUCUUGCCUCUACUGAAUCAUAACAUAAAAUUAUAAGUGAACUAACAGCACUUUCACUGCCUCCGUGAUCUGAUACUCUAAAAACCAUCUUCACAAUAACAUUUACACCAUCUGGAAUAUUUACCACUUCCUCUUUUGCACUUCUAAAUACCAAAAGUUUCUCAAUUGCUGCCAUUGCUUCUCGUGCAGAGCUUCUUUCUCUUUGUUGAGCAUUAGAAAUGUAUGAAAUAAGUCCAGUAACUGCACCUUCCACAACCAAAUUGUUGAUGUUUUGUUCCAAGUUACUUAGUGAACAUAUGGCUUUGGUUGCUGCAUCAGAUGCCUCUGAGUUGUGGUGUAGAAGUUGCACGAUUUCUCGUAAAAGCUCGGUUGUGUUUCCGAGUAAAACACUAAGAUCUUUAGUCUCAACUGAAGAUGAAAUUGCCUGAACCAAAUGACACAAACUGAUCUUGAUCAUGGAAGUGCCAUUACUGAACAAAACCAUGAACCGUGAUAGUUUUGACUCAUCCAUUAGCACAUUUAGGGACUGUAUCUGUUCAAGAGAAACCAUAGCAACCAUAAAACUAAGCGCUUGCUCUACAAAUUCCUGAUAUUCUUGUGAUAGUUUGGUUUCUUCUUGCCCAAAAAUCAACUCCAAAAGCACUGACAAGAACCCAAUUCGGAUCAAACAAGAAUUACGAGAAGGAAACUCUUCACAUAAAAUUCUAACUCUUUGAAGAACUUGUAGCUUGUAUUCAUAAGAAAACUCAUCAGAUUCAAGUUUGAUUCUCAAAGCAGCCAUAGAAUCAAUAGUAGAAACACAUUGAGGGUUUAUUUGGUCACUCAUCUGAAGCCACUGACAAAUCAAAUGACGAAGAGUAUUAUUAGGAACAAAAGAAGGAUCAUGAAGCUUCUGCAUUGUAACAGGACAUGUAAGAUUCCCUGAUGCCAACCAUUUCUCAAUGCUUGAUCUUUCAUAAGUUUGUCCUGUGCAAAGAGUGACAGGAUCCUUAAACAAAUCAAGACUUAUUGGACAUCUAAACAAGUGAGGGAUGGUCUCAUGAUCAUCAGCUUCUUUCAUGGAGAAGAAAAAGAAUAAAACUAAUUACAAAAACCAGAGAAAGAAGAGAGUGAGUACCCCCUAUUAGAAAUUUGGUAAAAAGAGAGAUGGAAAUGAAAUCUUUGAGAGAGGUGGAAUGAUAAAAAAGGAAGAUACGGUGGGAAAGUUUUCAAAAGAAAGAGAAAAAAGGGAGACCGAUUGAGUUCUUAAAGGCUUUUCUUUUCAAGUCACAAAAGAAGAACACAACAGUGUGAUAUUUGAGGAAAGGAAAAUGGAGACCCCAAAAGCUAAAAGGCAUAAAGAGAGAUGAAAAACAGGUAUAGAAAUUGGAAUCAGAUGGUAUAAAGGUGGAUUUAGAAAGCAAAAAAAGCUGAAGGAAAGAAAAGUAGGCAAAAUAUUAAGACUUAAACAGUGAGUUUCUAUGGGGGAAAAGUGUACUGAUUUUGGUCUGAGCUAAUGCUGUUUCACACUGGCAGAUAUAACGAAAAAAAAAGAUAAAAGAGUAUAGAUCAGAAGAGAGGGACAAAGUAGAGGUUAAUCCUAGUGAGAGAGAUGAACAAAGUAAAAUGAUAUGGAAGAAGUAUGAGAAAAAUUGGUCCCCAUUACUCUAAUAUAGAAUUCAGUCAAAGUGACCCACCAUCAAAUAAUAAUAAUUAUUAUUGUCUUUGAAGUUUGAAUCAACCCUCAUAAUAAGAAAAAAAAAUGGGGAAAAAAGGAGAAAAAUAAUGGGUCUAAUUCCCUGUGAUAGAGAGAGAGAGAGAGAGAGAGAGUUUUGACUAAGAAUUUUUCUUAUUCCUUGAGAUAUAGAUAGAGAGAGAGAGUUUGACUGUGAAAUGUUAAUGGUAAUCACAAUUAGAUUUUGAUGAGAAUUCUGAUCUCAAUUAUGAUUAUAAACACUCAUACCAAUCAUAUAAUGCAAAUCUAAACUGGAUAAUUCUCUAAUAUGUGUACUAAUAAAGGUGGCCUUUUUUUCCCCUAUGUUCAUACCUUUAAGAUCUUUCAAAAUUCAAACAAAAUUUGAAUUCUAAAUUUUAUAUAUUUUAAAAUUUUGGUUUUAUUUUUAGAAAUUGGAUAUGAGUUAAAAAGAAAAAAAAUAAACCCAAAAUUUAAAAAUAAAUAAUCGAAUAAUUAUCAAACGUAACCUACGAGAUCAUGUAAAUAUGUACUUAAUUACUUUAUUUGAAGUUGCAAUUACUUGCUUGAUCUAGGCCAUAAAUAUGACAUAGGAUGGUCUAACAAUAGCGAAUCUAUUUGAACAAUAAUCAUAUCAAUUAUUAAAAGUUGAAGCAGUUUACACAACAAAAUGGUAUAUUCUUUCCUAUAUAGACAUGAUUUAACGACUAUAGAUAUAAAACAGUGAAGAAAAGUCAGAAUAGAUGACUUUUACUCUUUAAAUUUUUAUUUUUUCUUUAUAAAACGUAGACCAACUCAAAUAUUUAACUAAAGGAAUAGUCAUUUAUUUGAAGGUUCUAAUUUUUUAAGAUAUAUUAAAAUGAAACUACAAAUUUCACCUACAUCCCAAACACAUGUAAUGAGCUAAUAUACAUAAAACAGAAAGAGAAAAAUCAAUUGACUCUCCCACUUUGAAUCGCAAUUAUUUAUUUUUGAUUCAUUUCUAUUUUCAUUUAGAAGUUGAAAAUUAUUUACAUAAAAUUAUUCUUAAAAAAUAUCACAAAAUCUCUCUAAACAAGUAAAUAAAAGUAGAGAAGGAUUAGCAAGUGAAAAGUUACUCAAAUUUGAUGAAAAUCACUCCUAUAUCUAUUUAGAUCCACGACUUUAAAACAAAAUUUUAAAUAAGAGUCUAAAUAAGUUAACUUAAUUAAAUUGAUAGAUAUAUAACAAUGGGUAAUUAGUAUAAAGUUAAAAAAGUUUUAAUUAAACUAAUACAAAGUCAAAAUUUAAAAGUAUAGAUUAAAUUUUGUAGUCCCUCUAGAAGUGAUGUUAAAUGCGCAACAUCAUUCAAGUAAUUAAUCCACUUAGAAUCCAUAGUUUUUGUUGAGUAGAGAAGUCUUCAACAAUGGAAUUCCAUCACAAACUAAGAACCUUUUUUGUAACAAAAAGAGGCCAAAUUUAAUUUGUUCACGUAAAGUGUUACAAAAAAAAGUCACUCAAUUUUAUAUUAUAAAUAAAAAGAAAGAAUGGAAACUACCAAAUUAUGGAUUAUACCUGAUUAUGGAUUCAAAUAAAACUUUGUCUCAUAUAUAUAUAAAACUUAUAGCUUAGCUUAUAAGUUUACUUUAGAAAGACUUCCACAUUUUGCUUCCAAACCGUCUUUAAAGUUGAGGGACCUAAUAUUCAUUAUACAAAAUUAAAAGUCAUGAUAUGUAAAUAAUUAAUAAGGUCGUAGUUGUACAAUCUAUAAAACAUAUGUCAUAUUUGAAUAAUUAAACGGUCAAAGAUCGAGGAUGAUAAUGAUGACGAACUAAGUUGAUUCAAUGAACAUGAUACUUUUAUAUGUAUAUUCAUGUUAAUAUGAUGAAAAUUGUUGACAUGAACAAUAUUUGAAAUGUAAGAUAUUUAUGAUUUAGACUAGUUAACAAUGAAAUGAUGAAAAAGAGAAGGAUUAUAAGUUUUGAAACGUUACAAAAACGUUGGUUGAGUUAGGUCAUAUUUUGAAUAGUGUUGAAAGGAUGAUGUUUAAGAUUGAAUGCAUGCACACCCACCAUAUUUAUUUGAAGUGUGCCGGCCAAAGGCAUCAUCACAAAAACACAAAUUAAUUCUAUCAACACUUUGACUUUUUGACUCUCAUUAUAUACACCAAACUUCCCCACCUCAUGACUUCCUAAUGUUUAGUCUAUUUUUUCCAAUAGUGUGUUAUGGGGAUGAUCCAUUGCCCAUUAUGAACGAAGGGGUGAUUCCAAAUUCUCUCCAUAGUCCCACUUUUAUCAUACGACUUUCAAACGUGGAUCAAACUUUAGGUAUUUGUGUAAUGAUGUCAACCAUAUAUCGUGUCAUUUCAUUGAGGUUUUAAGUCUUAUUUGUAGUCGUUUGUCAAAAUUCUAGAAGCUUUUUUGUGACGGUAUUGUGUGAUUAUAUUAUAACAUCUAGAGGUAUAAUAAUUUGUGUUUGAAGUCAAGCAUAUAGAUACAUACACAAACAACUUCUCUAACUUCAUAAUAUUGGACAAAAGUAUAUAUCUAAAAGUGGUAUUUGCAAAGUAUAUAGAGAACAACCCACUAAUGAUACAAAAAGUAUUUUCAAAUUAGACGAUAAGAGUUCAAGAUGAAGGAAUCAUCAAAGUACGUUUAUCGAGAUCAAAAAACUUACGAUAUACUAAAAUAAUUUCUUAUAUAUAUAUAACAUGAGUGGAAAAUGUAUAAAUCGUUAGAAAAAUUUCUCAUUUUAUUCUCUAAUAUUAUGCAUAGUUUUUUGUUUUAAGCUUUGUGAAGACCCAUAAAAUGUAUUACAUAUACUUAAACACAUGGUUGGAUUGACAAAAAAAAAAAGAUGUUUUAAAUAAAUCAUUUUCAUCCAAACACUUUGUAUAACAACUUAGUUAUACUUAAUUACAUUCUUGAAGACAAAUUUGUUAAGUCUGACAUAAUCAAAGUGGAUGGUUGAUAUCUAUAGUUUCAAAAAGAAAAAUAAAUAGCAAAGAGAAAGUACUUGUGAAUUAAAUCAAAGCAAUGAGAAUGGUUAAUUAAGUAAACCAAUAUCCACAAAAGGUAAAAGACCAAGUUCAUUUCCCUUUCAAUGUUUACAAUAUUUUACACCCAAUUCUUUUAAUUUGAUAAAAAGGAAUUCAAAUGUCAAAAAGGAUAGUCAAGAAUAUUUUAGCUUUAAUGUUCCCUCAAGAUUAGGUAAGUUUGGCCAAAAGAUAUUGGAAGAGAGAGAGAGAGAGAGAGAUAUCCAAAGCCACAAAAAGACAAAUAAAUGAGCAAAAUACACAAACUAUUCAAAAUAAUAUUUUUUUAUUUUCUUCUUCUCUUUAAAAAUGAAGAAAAUGAACUUUGAACUUAAUCUUGUCGGCUUCUUCAAUACUUUAAUUUGAAAUUACAAUAUUAUUUCUUUUUAAAACAACUAUUAAUUAAUAAUCUUUUGUUAGAGACUUUUAUCUAAAGAAAAUAAAAUCUUUUAUUGGACUUUGUUACAUUCCUUACUUUGUACCCAACAAUUGUUUGAAGAUAAUAAACUAAUAGAAAUGUAAACAAAAAUUCUUACAUUGAUCCAAGAAAAAAGUGAUCGUGGAUAUAUAUAAGCAAUUAUUUGUAUUGAUAAGACUUCUACAUAUGGUCAUGAUUUGUGAAGUUGAAUGUAGGUAAGAAAAGGAAUGUAUAUAUAUAUUUCACAAGUUUUUUCCCUAGGUAGCCACUUUAGGUCAUUUUUAAAUGGGUACUAUUGGUAUAAAUUUUUAAGAUAUCGAUCCUUUAUUUUUUUAGUUUUAGUAUACAUUCAAGUUUUAAUUCCUUGAUCAAAGUGAGCUUAGUUUAACGGUAAUUGAUAUGACUUUCUAUUUUAGAGAUGUGAGACGUUCGAAUCUCUCAACCUUCAAUUGUUGUACUAAAAAAAGUUUCAAUUACUUGUAUAUAUUUCACCUCAAGCUUUAAUAAUUAUUUUUAUUCAUUUAGUAGUAAUUAAAACUUUAAAGGGAGAGAUUAUAAAAAGAAAAUUGAUAGGGAUUGAUUUAUUUUGAUGCAUUGUGAUAAAUUGAAUUAAUAUUUUUAUCGACGAAUUGUAAGUAACGCCCUCGAACAAAAUUUGUAGAUCCAACAACUGGCUCGAUUAUAGUCCCAUUUUGAAGUUAGGUUUCACGCAAUAACAUUUGCAUAUAUUCUAAUAUACUCCUCGUUGAAACUCAUGGAGAGAUAAUCAUUUUUACCUCAUGAUAUGCUCAUAUUUUCUUUGUCAACUCAUCAACGUGGAAUCCAUAUCUCUAUGCAUAUUGUAUAAUUAACUUACCAAUUAUACAUUUCAUUCUUCACACACACGCACACUAAAAAGAAAUCCAAUGUAAUUUUAUUUCCAUGCUACUAUUCUAGGCAACUUUUAAGUAGUUAGUCAAUACUUAAUUAGCGGUAAUUUGAUAUGAUCUUCCUUCUAUCUAUUGUACUAAAACGCAAACUUUUAGAUGGUUAAAAGUUGUUAAGUGUUUAUUGUGAAUUUUUUGGUCAAAUUUUGGUUGAAACAACACUUCAUAUAUUUUAUAUAUGUGUGUGAUCUAACUGUUGGGUUGGCCAUGCCCAUGCUCUAGAUGAACAUUAUUUAUAAUGAGCCCUCAGUCCAUGUAAUAUUCCUCCAAUUAAAUAUUAUAAACAUGAUGAGAAAAGGGAAAAUAAUAAUAAUCCAAGACAAAAUUAAAUGAGGUUUAAUAAUUAACUAAGAUUAUAUAUUGGAAAUUCAAAUAUCAUCUAAACUCAAAUACAUCUCAUCCAAAUAAGAAAGUUCACUUUCAUCAUCAUCAUCAUCUUCCUCAUAACAAAACAUACUUCUUCCAAUAAUAUUAUUGUUUUCUUUUGCUUCAAAUACUCUACAUACAACCCAUAUUCCAAACUCCUGUUCAAAUCACAACACAUACAAUCACCUUAAUAAAUCAACCCAACAAUAAUGUUUAAAUUAAAUAACCUAACAAUUCGAACAAUCUAGACUAUCCAAUCUAAAUUGUAUAGACUAGGUUAGGGUAACCCAAAAUUUAGAAAAUGUAACCAACAACUCACUCUAAUCUAACUCGAAUUUUAAAGAUUUGGUUCGAUUGGGUUGAAGAUACAAUCAUUUUGGGUUGCCAAUUUGGUCCAAAAACUUUCCAUAAUCCAACUCAAUCAACCCAUUUACCUUCACCUAAUUAAUCUCUAUACACAAUUAUAAAAUAUACCAUCAUUCAACCACUACUACAUAGUUUUAUGUUUUUCUCUAUUUAAUUUAAUUAUGCUCUUAGGAAAAUACAUACACUAGUUAAGUUUUUUUUCUUGAUAUGGAUUGUAUAGUUAUAUAAUCUUGUAUCUAUUCAGUAUUUGAACUUUUGGAUUACAAUUUAUGUGAACCUCCAACUUUAUCAAAUAGGUUAUUGAUUUUCUUUCAACUAUUUUUAUAAUUUACAUACCUUAGUGAUCGUAAAACAUUAAUAAAGCUUGAAGUCUAGAUUUGUUAUUAUUUUUAAAAAAUUUAAUAUGUCGUGAACUUAUUAAAUACAAAAUCUAAAGUUUAAAGACACAUUUAAUAUUUAGGAACCCUUUUACCAAACUUUAAAAGUUUAAGAGAUAAAUUUGUAAAUGAAUCUGCAUCCAAAUUAUCUAAAUACUUUUUUGGUUUUUUAAGCUUUUAAAUAUGAUUUUCAUUUUGGUCCUUAAAAUUUCUACUUCCGUUCCUAAGCUAUAAAUUUAGUUUUUAUUUGGUGAUAAUACUUAUCUAAAUUAAAAUUUAAAAAGUUACAUUUUGCCAUUGUGUUUGAGUUUUUAUUUCCAUUUAGUCUAUAAGCUUUAUAGUUUUAUACUUUUACUUAAGAUAGUAAAAAGACCAUAGUACCAAAACUAGUAAUUUCACAUAUAUUUUUUUAUUUAAUAAAAAAUUAAGUACUAAGUGCCAACUAGAAUGAACAUAUACUUCAUUUAGCAAAAAGUUUGUACUACAAAUUUCAAGAUUAGAACUUUAUUGAUUAUUCACUCCACGUAUUAUUUUUCUAGAAAAACACCCGCCAUACCAAUUACUUUGUCUGAUUUUGAGGGGAAAACAUGGUGAUCGAAUCUAUAACGAAAUGAAAAAGUGUAAAAUGAAAGAAAACGAAAAACGAGAAACAAGGAAAAAUAGUGAAAAUGUAAGAUUCUUGAGUUGUUUCACUUACUGAUUUUGUUUGUGAUAGAUUAUUGUUGUUGUUUUGAGAUGGAUGAGUAUGAUCAUGAGUGUUCAAAAGGUAGUUGUAAAUGUGAUACUCUUGCAUGACCCAACUUGUUUGAAUGGGUGUUGGUGAUUCAUCAUCUUCUUCUUGAUCACCAACAAAGAAAAUAUGAUAUUUUUUGAUACCCACUUCAUCCCCAUUGGCACCGCAAAAGAUUGGUUCAUCCAUUAAAACAUCUUUCCAAUAUCCACUCUCUGUUGCUCUACUUUCUCCCACUCUGCUGAAAAAGUAAUGAAUGUCCCCAUUUGACAGUGUUUUACCUGUGAAACACAAUAAAAUUUUAACUUUAAAAUAUGUGUUUUGGUUGUUUCAAUUUGGUUCAUAUAGAUACAAAAUUUAUAAAUAUAGAACUUUUACUUUUCACUUAGUAUUAUUGCUCUCGAAUUUGAAACUUAAAUGAAAACUAAAACAAAAACUCAAGAAACAAAAACAUUUUAAGUUCUAAUGAAGUCUACAAGUUUUAGAGAAGAUAAAACAAACUAGAAUCAAUAUUUACUUUAAAGGAAAACGUAAAAUAACACACACAUAUAUAUAUAAAUUUUAAAAGCAAGAUCUUAUGCUCUUCCAAUGCUCCUCAUCAAUCUAACUUAAAAGCUAGCUUGACUUCUUGUACCUACUGCAUGCAUAUAUAGCUAGCUAUAUUGUUCUUCGCAUAAUAAGAGAAAAGAUAGAGGGGGGGAGAGAGAGAGAGAGAGAGAGAUUAUGUAUAUAUUAUAUUAUACCAUGGAAUUGCCAAGGGUUAUAGAGAUGAAGCUGAAGAUGAGGAAUAAUAAUGGAAUUGGAAAAACGAUGAUGAGAGUUAGCUUUGUGAUAGAGAAAGUGAAGCACAAGGUCUUCAUCAGUUGGGCAGAAUCUAAGACCAGGAGGCAACAGAUUUAAGCUAUUAUUUCCACUUAUCCCACCUUCAUCCAUAUUAACAAACUCAAUCAUAAUAAUAUAAAUAACAAAUACACAAUAAUAGUAUUCUUUUCUUUUUUCUUUUUGAGGAGGUAACUAGGUUAAGGCCUAGUAGGUUUUAAUGGAGAAACUUUGCACCACAUUUGGCCUAUUUAUAUAUAGAAAUUAAAUGCAUAUAUGAAAUUAAAUUAAAUAUAUAUUUAAGAAGAGGAUAAUAUUAGUGCAUAUAUGUGUUUUGUUUCAUUGAUUUAAUAAAGGCAUUUUUUCCCAACACCAUGCUUCCUUGACCCACACUUUUGGAAUGAAAACAAAAUCAAAAGUAACUUUUUCUUUUGCUUUGUUUUUAUUGUAAAAGAGACACAAAAAGAAAAAUAAAGAAAACAGUAACUACUACUUUAUAUGGUCUACUAACACCAACUUGUGAUCAUAAACUUUAGGUUUAGCUUACAUUUAUAUUUUAUUUAUUAGGUAUAUGGUGCUAUAAGAUAAUGUUUAAGUUAAUGAUGGAAAAUUAUUUUCAACCAAAAGAUGAAAUUUUCAGUACUUUUUUGGGGGAGAAGUGACAAAGCAAUAGCAAUUAAAUGUUGUAAUUUUGUUUUAUUUAUAGAAGCAAUGAAUUAAUGGUAUUUAGUGAGAGUGAAAUGGUGUGGAUUGCAAAUGGAUGAAAUGAUAAAUGGGUAAUCAAUCAAAUCUGAACAUAGUGGGUGUCGUUGUUUGAUGAACUACUGCCUAAAUCAUUUUGUUUAAUCUAAUGCAUAAUUACGUUUAAAUUAUUCCCUCUCUUUGAUUAUUGACUUCACCAAUAUUUCUACCAAACAAAAAUAGAAGAUGAGAUGUAUUAAUCCACUAAAUGUUCCUUUGGAUUUUAAAGUCUCUAUCUAGUACAAUAAUAAUGACAAUUAUAUAUGUAGAGAGAAGAGUCACACCCUAACAAUUUAAUCGUGAAAGAAAUUAUUAACAUUUUGGGAUAGAUUUGAAUAAUGUUAAAUAUAAUCAUCAAUAUUGAUCCAAAAACUUAAGUUAAUAAGUGCACGUUCUAACGUUCAACAUUAUUAAUAUGAAUUCCUUAGGGUUGCUUGCUCAUGAACAUUUUGUAGUAAAGGAUCUUUCCAAAGAAAAAAAGAUUUGAGAGGUGUGAGAAUUGAUUAUAUAUUAAAGAUGAAAGACAAUUAUCAUAUAUUAAAAAUACUUAGAAUAUUGAUUGAUUUACAUAGUAAAGACAAGAUUAUCAAGGUAUUAAAACACUAAUAUAUACCUUCAAAAUUCCCAAUAAAUCAUACCAAUAUACACAAACAAACAGGAUGAAACGUUAGUUGACUCACCAAUUGAUCAAAAACUACUUUAAGUUUUUUUUAAAAAAAUAAGUAACAACAAAAAUAAAUAUAAAAAUUAGUAUAUUAUUAGAUUAAAAUACUUUGUGAAAGGGAUCUAAUAAUAAGUGGUGACAAAUAUAUUAUUUUAUGGAGUGAUGUAGAAUCAAAUCUAAUGAAGCCCUUAAAAUUAAUAAACACUCACGAGAUCGAUCAUUCAUUGUUUAUAAAAAAUACAUCAUCAUUGUUUAUAUGAAAGCAACUUCUUUCUAUUAUUUUUUAUUCUCCCAUCUCAUCAUUUUGUUGGAUGGGAUCUUAACACAUAUAUACAACAGAUUCUGCCAAUUAGAAUAUCUAUAUAGUUCUUUGAAAACAAAACAUAUAAUUCUAAUCCAAUAUAGUUGACAGACAAGUUUUACCACUCCAACACAAUUUUUUAUAUUAGAAACUUUGGUAACACUCUACUCCCUGUUAUGAUCACUUUCCUACAUAGGAGAAUAAACAUGUAUUUAUGCGUGCCAUUUAGUUGCAUUCAAAUUUUCUCGUGAUAGUUGUUCUUUAUUUUAGAAAUUCAAUUGUCCUAUACAUUGAAAUAGUUUAUAGAAAUGAUGGGUUUCAAUAUGCCUUUGGUUUCAAAUCAUCCUAAUUAGAAACACUUUUAUAAGUUUGAAUGUGCUAAUUAAUUCUUGUUAAAUUCUCUUUUGUAAUUUUAGUUUUGAGAGGUGAGAUUAAAAGGUGUGAGUAAUACUAAAGUUUUGAGAGAGUGUUCUUGUAAUUGAGAUUGGAAAAAGAACUAUUUAUAUUAUGUGUGAUAUAUUAUAACAAUUUUCACACGGUAAACUUCUUUUUAGUUAGUAGGUCAUGGUUUUUUUCUAGGUUAAGAGAUUUUCGUGUAAGCCUUGUGUUUUCUAUUAUUUUCUUUUAAUUUCUAUAUCAUCUUUCUACUUAUUUUGUCAAAGAGAUGAUAGAUUUUUUUUUUCUUCUAACAAUUGGUAUUUCAUAGCCUUAAAUUCAUAGUUUCUUGAAUGUUUGAGUAUACGUUUUAUAGUUACCGCACUAUUUAUAUACUUUCAUGUCACUAUUUAUAUACUUUCAUGUUAGAAAAUCGUAAACACUAAACAUUAAACGUAUUAUGAAUAUUGUGAAUUGGUUCACGCUACUUAUAAAUUAUUUAGAAGUGCAGCAAAUAUACGUUAAUUAGGUUUAUAAGGUGAAUAUGAAAUUUGUCAGUAUAGAAAUGAACUCAACUAAGGAGAACAACUUCAACUUGUACUGAUCAUAAUUGUAUUAUGAAUUAUACAUGAGAAUAAAGAGUGGUAAGUGCAUUGGCCUAAUAUUAUUAUGCAUGCUUUGGUUUAUCAAAAGCCAUAUCAUUACGUUACAACUCAUUAGGCUAUUCAAAAUGAUUCCCAUUUAUUGUUUUAGUUGAGAGGUCAUAUCUAAAAGCAUUUUGAAGGAAUAAUCUCAACCACAAAAGCGAAGCCACUUUUGUGCUUAUCCCAAUACAAAAGGAAAGAAAAACACUUUGCAAUUGCAAUUGAGUUGCAACCCAACUCUUUUCCCAAUAUUAUCUUAUUUAUUUAUUAUUAUUAAUUAGUUAAGUUUGAAUGCAACUUGUUUGUAGUUGCAAACAAAUACUAUAUUAUUUGGCAUUUGUUAUAUAUUUGUUUUGAUAAUCAUUUAAACUAUUAGAACACAGUUCUAUACAACUAAUAAGUGAUGAUCACCAUUAGACAUUUAGGAGAGAUUUGUAGUGCGAAAGUUUAAGAACCUAUAGUUUAAAAAUGGUAAUGUAUAGGAAAUCUACAAUUCUGGAGAUAACUAGACAUAGUAAAAAAUUUAAGAAUCUCUAGUUCCUUUACAAUUAUCAUGAUUAUAUGUAUAUCUAAUCAUCCAAAUUAGUUCUAGAGUAGUACUUAGCUUCAAUGUAUAACUAGUAUUAGUCCACGUGAUAUAGCAUUAGAUCAAUAGUUUAGUGCUUUUUCAAAGAAAUUAAAAAUGGUUGAUAAGAGACGAAUAAAUUGAUAGAUAAUCAUAACUAUUAAUUUUAUUUCUUGCUCCUUUUUUCUAACCACCACUCACUUUAAAAAUUGACAUAUGUUUCUUUUUCGAUAUAGACAAGGCAUUAUUAGUUCAAUCUAUAUAUUUAAGUUAGCAUGGUUUAUUCUUAACUCAAUCAUAUAAACAUGGAAAUAAUCUUUCACCCUAUACUUACCUAGAAAUUUAAUUCAUAUUAGUACCUAUAAUAUAGGUAUUUCAAAAUCAAUAAAGGGAAGAAUAAUGAAUUGAAAAUCCCAUCAUUAGUUCAUCUUGUUUUCAAUCCUUACAUAAAAUUGACACAAUAUCCUAGCAUGCAUUUAAUCUUUCUUAUUGAUUUUAAAAGUCUAAUUUAUUUUAUAACAUUUAUAAAAACUUUUAGACUUAAUCAAUCAUUUUAUCAAUAUAUAACCUUAUAAAAACAUUCAAUUAAUAUGGAUUUUAAUUUAUUUAACUUUAAUUAAAUCAUAUUUAAUUUUAAUUUAAUUAAAUCAUAUUUAAUUAAAUUAAAUCAAACAAUAACUAAUUAAUUUGAUUAAAUCAUAUUUAAUCAAGAAUAACUUAAUUAAUUAAUCAUAUUAAUUAAUUUCCAUAUUAAUCAAUUAACAUGCAUACAAUACAAUAUAACAUUUAUAUUAUACAUUUUAAUGCAUGAACAUGUUAACCUAUGGUGGGAUUUUAAAUCUAUAUGACAUUCAAAAUGCACAUACAAAUUUAAAGUAAUUUAAUCAUACAUCACAUGCAUAAAUAAAAAAACACCCUAAAAUGGACUGAUUUUUGGCUCCUAAAUUAAGUUAAGUACUAAAUUAUUACAUAAUUAAUUUGGUGUAGUACAGAACCACUCCCAAAAACUUCGAACCGGCUGAAAAACUAACCGAAACCCCUUGAACCGGCCCAAAAACCAAAUUUAUUGGCUUGAACCGGCCCAAUUAACUAAACAGGCCCAGGCGCACACGGGUCGGGCGCAGGCGGGCGCGGCGGGACAGGCAGGAGGGCGCGCGGCGCAGGAGGGCGCACGGGCGCAUGCGGGCGCGCGGCACAGGCGGGCGCGCGGGCACAGGCGGGCGCAGGAGGGGCGCGCGGCGCGUGGGACGCAGGCGGGUCGCGCAUCGGGUCAUGACCGGGUUUUCGGGUCUGUGACCUUCUUUUCUUCAUUUUUUUUCAAUUCUCUCACCCGGUUGAACCCGUUACAGCCUAACUUCAACUCUAAUGACUUUUUUAGUUUUUAAAAAAUUACAAACACUUUGCAACAAUAAAAAUAAGCCAUUAACAAGGCUAAUUACAAUAAUUAGAACAAAAACACUUAAUCUAGAGCCAAAUUCAUAAUAUAUCCAUUUUAGUUCAAACCAAAAUUUAUCUAAUAAAUAUGAACCCACCACAUACAAUUGGGUAAAAAUGAAGCAUGCUCUGAAACCACAUGUACCAACUUGAUCACCACAAGUCCCAACUUGAUCACCACAAGUCCCAACUUGAUCAUUGAUGGUACUUGUGGUGAUCAAUGAUCAAGUUGGGACUUGUGGUGAUCAAGUUGGGACUUGUGGUGAUCAAGUUGGGACAUGUGGUUUCAAAGCAUGCUUCAUUUUUACCCAAUUGCAUGUGGUGGGUUCAUAUUUAUUAGAUAAAUUUUGGUUUGAAAGUAAUGGAGAUAAAAUGGGAUUGGAAGGUUUCUUUUUUCUUUUGUUGAGAUGAUGAAAAUGAUAAAAGAGGCAAAAGUUCUUCAACAUUUGAAAACACCUCUAUUUAUAACCUAAUUACAUGCAAAAAUGCAUGUAAUUCAUUUGCCAAAUCUCAACACCUAAUGUUCCACUAACAAUUAGUGGGCUAGGUGUCUAUAUCUCAUAUAGCCACAUAUCCCACUAAGAGUUAGUGGGAUUAUCCAACAAAAUGUUGGAUUUUUCCACUAACUUAGUCCAAGGGUAAAAUGGUCAUUAGAUAUUUCUAGUCAAAAGUCAAACUUUGACUUUUCUAAGUCAAAAGUCAAUAUUUUGACUUUUUACCAUUUUGUCCGUCUUGACUAAUUCCAACCUCCCGAGCAUGAAUCCGCAUUCAUUUUUCCAAAAUUCAAAUCACAUUUGAAUAUAAGGCCGGUCAAAGUUUGACCUUUUCAAAGUCAAAAGUCAACAUUUUGACUUUUUACUAUUUUUGACCAAUUCCAUCAAUUCUGAGCUUCUUAGUAUGAAUCCGCAUUCAUACUUAUAGUAUGUAAAACAUAAAGCUCUAUUUCUAAUUAGAAGACCGACGACUAUAUCACUAUAUUUGUCGGUUUCCCUUUCUUCUCCCAAUUCGAAACAAUUCGAGCUUAUUUCAUCACACUGUUCUAAGUUUAAUCCAUAUGAGCUAGCAGAGGAACCUAAUGGACCUAUAGAUCAUGGGCUCCAACGAUUCAAGAUUAACUAGCUAAACUCUUUUAAACCGAGUUAAUCAACAUUCGUUAACUAACGGGUCAUUCCACUAAAGUCCCGUAGUUGCACUCCCCUCACUAUAGAUAUAUUUGUGUCCAUUUGAUAAAACCAUAAUCAGUAAGUUAAUCCUUCACAGGUUGCUCGUAACCUUGGCUGGGUCAAAAUACCGUUUUACCCCCAAGAUUACAUCUUGCUCCUUAAGUCCCACUAAUCCACUAUUGAACAAUUGGUUUAAGGUUCAACCUAUAAACUUAAUCCCUCUCGGGCCAAUGAGAGGGUGGGGCCCCUUGUUCAAGACUUGGAUUCAGUGCUUAAGAGAGCAACCUAUCUACUAACCCUAAAGCGGGUAGGAGUGAAUUCCAUCUUGUACCCUAUGUUCCCAGCUAUCCACCGAUCUUACCCCUGAAAUGGGAGGCUUAUUGGGCCAACGCUGAUGAGCUGCCCUCACCUAUGCAGAUCUAAGGAUAAUCUCGUGUGAACAGGAGUUCAUAGUUAACUCAGGAUUAAGACUAAGUUACCUAGGUCAUCAAUAAUUGAGAUAGUCAGUUUUAAACAGUAAACGGUGUUAUAACGUAAAAAUGACUAAUUCAUGGUUCAGUCUUAUGUAAACAUUUUACAUAGGAUGCCCCCACUUUCAUGUCUCUACAUGAACGAUUAGGAUCACCUCGUUUGUACUACAAAGUGGGCCGCAUCCAUAGUUUCUCUAAAUAAGGCGCCCAACCUUUAUUUCAUAUACUAUAGACUAUUUAGGCUAUAUACUCGAACUUGAUCCACGUUUAUGUUUACACAUAAAGUUCAAGUUUAUUCAAAAAAUAGCCUUGGAACUUGAUUUAUUGGAUUUAAGAUUAUAAUAUUUAAUUUCUCAAUAACAACUUUAUUGAACAGAAUAUGAUUUACAAACUACGAGUUUUAGGACAAAAAAUUCCAACACUAAAGAGGUGCAAGAUAAAAAUAAAACAAUUAAACCCUUCAAAAACAAGUUUUGGGAUAAAAAAAAUGAGUAUGUGGCAUCACUGGUCACUUUUUGUGGAAAUUUUUUUCAAUAUUAUUCAAAAUGAGACUAUCUAGUAGUCAGAUUUGAAUUUUCGAUACUUUUCACAUUGUUCUAAAUUGGGUCGUUUCUUUGUAAGCUAUAGCAUGGACAUUUUUAGAACCGUUUUGGGUGCUACCAUAAUACAUCACUAAGGAGCACCAGUCUCGACCAUUAUGCAAUUUUCUGUGUCAUAGAGUAAUGCAAAAGAUAGGAUGUCGCACUUAUCAACCCACAAUCAUUGAGUUAAAGAGGUGCAAGAUAAAAACAAAAAAAAAAAUUAAAAUAAACGCUUCGAAGACAAGUUUUGGGACAAAAAUAAAACAUGAGUCUUAGAGCAUCAUGGAUCAGGUUUUAGUUUUUGUGGGGAAAAAAACUUUAAUAUUACUCAAAAUGACACAAUCUAGUAGUUAGAUGUGAAUUUUCGAAACUUUUUAACAUUGUUCUAAAUUGGGUCGAUCCCAAUUAAUUUUCUACUUUGUAACAAUGUUUCAUUUAUGUCAAUGGUUAGGUUGGAACAAGAUAUAAGCGUUAGGUAUGAAAACGGGUCAUGUUUGUUUAUUUUUCUAGAAAAAAAAAAUUGACAUAAUCCAACUCAAAUUUGGUUUCACAAAGAAGUUGUUCGACUUGACUCGGAAAAAAAUUAGAAACAAAGAGGAAGACCUUGAACAACCUAAAUUUGAUAGAAUUUAGGUAAUGAAAAUGAUUUGAAGAUCCAUGAAUGUGAAGGGCAGCUCAAUUAGAUAUGAAGUACAUAAUGAUCAUGUUGAUUAUUAUUGCAUGCAUUUAGGUUUGAAAACCAUGAAGUAUUGAGAAAACAUAAAAGUGAAAUUCAAAGUUUAAUUUGGAUGAUUGGAUGUUUUUGUUGAAUAUGAUUUGGGAUAGACACUAUUUUUCCACCUCUCUUAAUUCAUCAUUCGCCAAAUGGCUACACAAUUAUAUACAUCCAAUAUAUAAGAGAUAUAUAAUGAUGAACAAUGUUUCAACUUUAAUUAAAGUGAUGGAAUCAUGGAAAUAUAUGUAAGAACGAUGAGUUCGCAUGCCAAAUUGCCAUAAACCACUCCAUCUUCAUUGAUUUCAUAAGUUAUAUGAUAACCUUUUCUUUUUCUGUUUUUCAUUUUUUACUAUAGAUUUUUUAAAUUAUUAAUUUCAUUUUUCGUUUUCAAUUUUUGAAAAGAAUAAACAUUAGUAAGAUUGAAGAUAAACCCAAAUAAACAUUGGCCCAACAUAAGAUAAAACCCCAUUAUUAGCAAAAUGGGCUCAUAUGGGCUGUAAGCUUAUAAGGGUAACUACCCACGUGGGUCAUGUCUAUCGUGCGGUCAGCCGUCAACUCCAUAAUGGGUUGGAAUCUUUUUGGAUCUGGGCUAAUUGGGCCAAUUGGGUUUGCUCCAUUUAUCUUUAAAGCUAUGUUUGCUCCAUUUGAGUCUUGCACUCAUCCGUAUAACUCCAAAAGGCACUUGAGGCUUCUAAAGCUAGCUAGAUUUUCUCUAUCAAUAAACAAACUUGAAGACAAAGUUAGUAAAUUGGAUUAAGUGAUUUUAGUUUCAUUAGAGUGACCUAAAGUAAAAAAGUAGGAGAUGAGAUCUUCUGGUUUAGGGAUACACAGAGUCGUCCUAAGAUUGAUUUUGUGGAGUGAGUGGGCAUCCCAUUGGGUUUAACCAAACAACAUCUAGAGAUGUGAGAAAGGGUUGAAAUAGUUGGAUGGAAGAAAGAGAGAUGAAUGGAAAGGAAGUAAGUAUUCACGGGGUAACAAAAGUUUGAUAUUAUUAAAAAAGAAAAAGAAAACAAAGAGUUGAAAACAUGGAAAUGAGUUGUAAGGAAGGAGUGAUGGAAAAGUUUGGUUGGGUACCCAUUGACCACAAAACAAUGGUUCACGGGUGCCUUUACACUCUCUCACUACAUCCUUUUUUUAAUCACACAUUCCAACAAACACUAAGGCCAUUUUUCUUUUAACAAACAUAUACAAUUUACAUUAUUGAUAUCUUUUCAAUAUUUAACACAAUAUUAUAUAUAUAUAUAUAUGAAAAUUUGUAUGGAUGAAAAAUGAAUCAUAACGAAAUCAAUUUAUUUAACUAUUUUAAAAAAAACAUUAAUUUCAAAUAAAAACAAAGGAAAGAAAAUUGAUGUAUAAUUUCCACACAUAAAUAGUUUUAGGGCAAAGGACAAAAUAGAAAUAGGUAACUUUUGAGGACAACCAAGCAAUUUUUGAAAAAGUGAAGAAGAGCUGAAUCUUCUCUUUUGCUCUCAUCCACAAAAAAGAUUUGCCCAUUUUUUUCAUCUAUUUUUCCUUCAAUUUUAACCUUUUGUUUGAAUAGGAAUUAAUUCUCCACCACACAAAAUAAUGAAAAGCUCAUAAAUCCAAAUGCCUUUCUUACAAAAAUAUAAUAACACUAAUCACCCUUCAAUUUUUGUGGUCCACUAGUUUUGCAUGUAAAUCCAAAUCUUUGGACCCAUGGGGUGGAAAAAUUGAAUAAAUAUCUAAAUUUUUAACAUACUUUAUACUAAAUAUCAAUUCAUACAAAAAUAGAUUAUAAAUGUAAAGGAGUACUGUAUAGAAUAGAGAAACACCUCAAAUUAACUACAUAAUUUUAAUUAACAUUUAAGUUAACUAUACAUUAUUGUUUACUACAUGUAACAUUAAUACAUAAUAGAGAGAAAGUUUACCAAAAGAAUGUAAAUUGAACUUAUGGGUUCACUUGCAUGGUAAAAUUAGUAGUUACAAAGUAAAAAUGUUAUUAUUAUCAUCCCUAUUAAUAAACCUUUCUUGUUGGCUAAAAUAAUAACAAAGACAUGAUUGAGUAUUAAUUUAGGAAACCACAUAAUAAAAGUGCUAAGAAAUAGAAGGGAUAUGUUAUAUUACUUUAUAGUAUUGAAUCAAUUAUAAAGGUGAAUGACAAAAAAUAAUGGAGUUAGAUUAGAGUAAUGUAUGGUCAUAUGUACUUAAUAAUUAAUUAUUCUUUUACAUUAUGUCAUGUUUUUAUUUAUUUAUUUAUUUUUUUUUGGUCCAAUUCAUCUAAUUAUCAAUACAUUAAACUUAAUUAUUCAAGUUCCUUUUGACAUUAAAACUCAUCAUUUUAACUCUAUGAAAGGAUUUGGAUGAAAUGUGCAGUUGUAAGAUUCCUUACCAUAUCAAUUAGCUAUUUGUAUUUUUAAUUUGAUAGGAUGAUGUAAUUAUCAUUCUACUACAUAAUAAUACAAUUGAAUGAAGAUUGAUACAAACAAAAAGUAGUUGCAAAUAUAGCAAUCAAACCUAAACAAUAACUCAUCAUCUUUCAGUCUCUAAUAAGUUUGAAGUAGUAAGAAAAAAGAAAAGAAAUGAAAUGAAAAAACAAAACACUAAGAAUAAUUAUAUUUAAAGAAGAGAUAGAAUGCCAAUGUUGGCAUAUUGAGAGAGAGAGAGAGAAUGAGAAUGUGAAGAAAACAGUGUGUGUGUGUGUGUGUGUUUAAGGGCUUAGAAAGAAAGCAGUGAGCUGAGUUAGUAAGAAAAACCCAAAUCAGAAGAAGAUAACUGAAAUGAAGAAGCAAGAAGAAGAACAACAUCAAGAACAAGAAGGAUGCGACAUUGAAGCCAUAGGAAUCACCUACAAGAUUCAAAUCCAUAACUCCAAAUCCCCAUUUCUCAACUUCUUCUCCACCUCAAAACCCUCCCUCCGCCAUCGCCAUGUCCUUUCCGACGUCAAUUGCCAAGCCAAAUCCUCCCAAAUCCUUGCCAUUGUCGGCCCCAGCGGUGCCGGAAAAUCCACUCUCCUCCAAAUCCUCGCCGGCAAAACCACCCCUCACGGCGGCUCCCUCCUUCUCAACCACCUCGCCGUCGACCCUUCCUAUAUCAACCGAAUCUCCGGCUACGUCCCUCAAAAAGACUCCCUUUUCCCUCUCCUCACUGUCGAAGAAACUCUGACCUUCACCGCCCGCCUCCGUCUCUCCCUCCCUUCUGCCGUCCUCACCGCCAAGGUUACUUCUCUGAUCGACGAACUCGGUCUGACCCAUGUCGCCCGUUCCCGAGUCGGCGACGACCGAGUCCGUGGAAUCUCUGGCGGCGAGCGGCGGCGGGUUUCAAUCGGCGUGGAAGUGAUUCACGACCCCAAAGUUCUUAUUCUUGACGAACCCACUUCCGGUCUCGACAGCACUUCCGCUUUUCAGAUCAUCGACAUGCUGAAAACAACCAUGGCUGAAGCUCAGCGAAGAACCAUCAUUCUUAGCAUCCAUCAACCUGGAUUCAGAAUCGUGAAGCUUUUCGAUUCCAUUCUUCUUCUUUCCAAUGGCUCUGUUUUACACCAUGGCUCUGUCGAACAUCUCGGACUCAACCUCACUCUAAUCGGCCUUCAACCUCCUCUUCAUCUCAACAUUCUCGAAUUCGCCAUUGAAUCCAUCGAAACAAUCCAACAAACCCCAAAUCAAACCCAAUUGUUAAUCCCUCACUCCCAAUUAAAACCCCCUAAAUUCACCCUGCAACAGCUAUUUCAACAAUCCAAAGUCAUCGACGAGGACACCAUCAAAAUCGGAAUCCACAAAUCAAUCCCUCACCAUUUCGCCAAUUCCCCAUUCAAAGAAACGGCCAUCCUCAUGCACAGAUUCUCCAAGAACAUAAUCAGAACAAAGGAGCUUUUCGGUUGCAGAACAGUACAAAUGUUGGUAACAGGGCUUGUUCUUGGUUCAAUUUUCUACAAUCUCAAAUUCGAUUUAAUUGGUGCUGAAGAACGCGUGGGGUUAUUCGCCUUCAUUCUCACAUUCCUAUUAACAACCUCGAUCGAAGCCCUCCCAAUUUUCUUACAAGAAAGAGAGAUUCUAAUGAAAGAAACCUCCUCAGGUAGUUACAGAGUAUCCUCAUACGCCAUAGCCAACGGAUUAGUAUACCUUCCGUUUCUACUAAUCUUAGCAAUUCUGUUCUCAAUUCCAUUAUACUGGCUAGUGGGGCUUAACAGAAACAUAAUAGCGUUUCUUCAUUUCAUGCUGUUGAUAUGGCUGAUUCUAUACACAGCAAAUUCAGUGGUGGUUUGUUUCAGUGCAUUAGUGCCAAAUUUCAUAGUGGGGAACUCAGUGAUAUCGGGGGUAAUGGGUUCGUUCUUCCUGUUCUCGGGGUAUUUCAUAUCGAACCAGGAAAUACCAAAGUAUUGGAUAUUUAUGCAUUACAUAUCAGUGUUUAAGUACCCAUUUGAAGGGUUUUUGAUAAAUGAGUUUUCGAGAUCAGGGAAGUGUUUGGAAAUGAUGUUUGGGGAAUGUGUAGUGAGAGGAGAGGAUGUGCUGAAGGAAGAAGGAUACGGGGAAGAAAGUAGGUGGAGAAAUGUAAUGGUAAUGGUGGGGUUUGUUUUGAUCUAUAGAUUUGUUUCUUAUGUUAUUCUUAGAUGUCGAUGCUGCAGGAAAACUGGUUUUGUUUAACAGAAAUGAAGAAGAACGAAGAUGAAGAAGAUGAAGAAGAUUGAAGAUCGAAGAAGAAGAAUAAGGACAAAAAAAAAUCUCUCUCUUCACGAGUUUGGAUUUGAAAGAUGCUCUUAGUUCACGUGGUAGUUUUAAUUGUAGCCAAAGGUUAUACUCACACGUGUUUCUUUGUUCUUUCGGAUUUUUAUUUUUAUUUUUUGCCCUUUCUCUCUAACUAUAUAUAUAUAUAUAAUAUAUGUAAAAUUUUCUUUUAAAUUAACAAUUUGGUGUGUGGUUUGUUCAUCUAAGUUCAAAUUUAUUCAACCAAUUAUUUAGUAGAGAAAAGCUUAAAUGGUGAAAGUGAUUUUAAGUAAUCAAAAUUUCUUCUUACAAAAAUUGUGAAGUAUCAUGAAUAUUUCUUUUACAUAAUUCUUUUCUUCGGUAAAAGAUAAGUUCAGGUUAAACAAAACUAUUUUUUUAUUUAUUUGCCAAAUAUGAUAUUUAACAUAUUAUUACUUAUGAAACACAAAUAAAAGAAAGAAAGAAAAAAAGAUCUGUAAACAUAGAUUCAGAAAUCCAUAUUAAUAGAGAUAAAUCGUGUUAAUACCAUUAAAACAUACAUGCUUUGAAAGAACUAAUUUCAAAUGUUAGUUGUUUUAGGAAAAGAACAAGCAAAACCGAGAACAAUGACUAAGCAAACAAAACGUAGAUCCAAUCACAACUUUCAUAUAUGCGUGAGUAGUGUCACCUCAUUUCAACAACAAUCAUGGUUCAAGAUUUGAUUUAACUAACAAUUCUAUUCAUCACUCCCUAACUAUAGAAUCACCAAUUCAAUCAAUUAUAUCACCAUCAAAGAAAGAAAAAAAAUGGUAAAAAGUAUUUUUAUUUUUGAAUAAUUGAAAUGCUCCAUAGUUUUCAACCUUUAAUAGUUUAUUUAACAAAAAUUGUAAAACAUAGAAAUAUAUUCUAAAUAAAAUAAACGACAUAUAUCUCACAACUCCACCUUAACAAAUUUAACACUUGAAAAUAAACAUCAUGAAUGAAGACUAAAAAUCCAAACUUUCAAAAUUAAUAAAAAAAAUUCUCAAAUUUGAAUGAUUUUUAGAAAAGCUCUACAAAUAGUGUCUCUUCCCAAACUCGGUUAUUCCAAUUCUUUUUCUUUACCGUUAUUUUCCCCCUUCUUCAUCAAUAAUUUAUAAAACACUCUCCCAAAUUCCAUCCCCACCCCAUCCCUUCUUCUAUAAAACAAUGGACAAACACACGGUAACCUCCGAUGAACUUCUCGGAAUCAAAAUCUACACCGAAGAACACGCCAACGGCGGUGGGCGGAAAAGACGAGCAAUGGCAAAAGGAAUGCAAAAAACACGCUCAAAAACCUCAAUGCUAGCUAGUAAACUUCCUUCCAACCGGCACUCUCCUAACCUUCGAAAUGCUUCUGCCGUCGGUCUCCGGCAAGGGGGAGUGCACGCGGGUGAACACGAUGAUGAUAUAUAAACUUCCUCUUGGGCUUAUGCGCUUCUAUCCUGUUUCUUGUUUCACUUCACAGACAGUUUCAAAUUAGGCGUGGACGGGAAAGUUUAUUACGGGAUCGUGACGCGGAGAGGGCUGGCGGUGUUCAAGACGGGGUUGAGUGAGGUGGAAGUGGCGAAGGAGGAGAGGUUAUGGAAAGCUUUCCUUUGAUGGUGGGAAGCAUUUGUAGUGCUUUGUUUUUGGUGUUUCCUAAUACUAUAUAUUAUAUGGUAUUGGUUGUAUGGCUAAUUGACUCUAUUACCCCCCACCUUUUUUUUCUUUUUCUUAAUUGUUAGGAUUUUUUUAAUAAUUAUUAUUCUAAUUUUACUAAACUAUAAUCACCAAUUCAAUCAAUUAUAUCUAUAAAAGAAGAAAAAAAUUGGUUAUAUCUAUAAAAGAAGAAAAAAAAUUGGUUGUAUGGUCGUGUAUGUUGCCAUGGCCUUUGUUAAUUCUUCGAAACUAGAAAGAACAAAGAUCUCACAUAUUCAUACAGGUGGAAAAGAUAGAAACAUGCAUCGUUUUGAUUGAAACUUCUUUUAUUGAUAGAGGACGAAAAAACAAAUACAAGUAGUCAUACACCUAAAAAACGAUCAUCCAAAUCAAAAGAUAUGACCUAGAAACUAUCCAUUUCUCAUGUGUCGUCAAAUUUUGCCUAAUUGCUUCUUAGAGAUAGUUUGUUUUAGCUCCAUUUUCGUCCUUACACUCAAUUGUGCUUCUUUGAUGCUUAAAACCAGUAAAAUAAUCAAACAUAAUAAGAACCUAGAAUUAAGUGAAGCUAGAUAACAUAUUUAUGGUGCUAUCAUUUAUUUACCAUUUCACACUAUAAUUUUAUUAUUUCUAGUUUAUCUUACCAAGCCAGUGUCAAUUUUCUUUUCUCAUUCUCAAUGUUCUUUUAUUUGCUUCAAAAAUUCAAUUUGAAAAAAAAAAAUGUGAGAAAGUUGAGAAUUGAAGAGGAAAAAAAAGAACAAAAUUAGUUUUUUUUUUUGUUUAUUUGAUUAAUUAAUUCAAGAAUGUUGAUUAUGUUUGAGUAUUGACAUGAAAUAUUUAUCGAAAAAUUAGGAAGAAUUUUCAUCAUUUGUUGAAAUCAAAGUAAGGCUCUCUCUAAAAGUGCUUGUAAAAUUUGGUAACAAAAUAGGGUUUAAACCAAAAGAUUAUAAAAGAAGAAAAAAUAAUAAUUACUAAUAAUUAAUUAACAUUGUUGGGGCAGCCCAAAGAACGGUUGUGACCUCCAUUGCAGAAACAGAAGAACAAAGCUCAUUUGGUUGUAAAACCAAUAGAACGAAUCGAAAGCCUCCCUUGAGAGUUAUACAGUUGAAAAUGGAGCUUCAAGAUUUUGCGCCAAUUUUUGGUAAACCCACCAGAGUGGAGUGGGUAAACAGGGGUUCACUUUCUUUGCUCCAAUUUUUGUUCCAUGUUUAUUCUCCAAAUCCUUCGCACCUCAGAUUUCUUGUUACUGAUUUUCAUUCUAACACUUGGGAAUCCACCAAAUCAGCUUUCCAGCUUGAGGAUAUGGUGGGCAUCUUUGAUUUCUCCCUGUACGUCGUCUCUUUGUUGCAUCCUUCUUCUUUGAUUUCUAUUAAUAUGUUGUUCUUGCUUCUUUUUUUCCUCUUAGCAAAUGAUGAAAUGGGAUUGUUUUUUAGAAUUUGUUGGUGCGAAAAGCUCUACUAUUUUAUGUAAUCUUUGAUACAGAGAGAUGACAUUGGAAUUGGAGGGGCUUUUUCAGAGUUUGUUGAUUAUAUUGUUGCAUCUAUGAAAUUUGGAGAUGUAAGGCUUUGUAUGGAAGGACAAUCGGGGAAAGAUGGUAAUCUUCCUGAUAUGUAACUAAUUCAAAUUCUCUUUCCCAUUCAAUAUAUUGUGAAACUCACUCCUUUUUUUAUUAUUCUACAGGUGCAGCAUCUGUCAAACUAAUUGCUCAGAAAUCAAAGGGAAUGCCUGUAUUUUCCAUUUCUCUCACAAAACUUGUUGACUCUGCUGCUGCUGAAGCUAUGGCAACUAUGUCCUUGGGGCUUUUUAACUCAUUAAAAGAAAAGGAGUGUUCACUUAUGAAAGGUUUUCAUCGCUUAUCUAUAGACUGCCUAUAUUCUGUGCUAUAGUCAUCAAAUAUGUCGAUAUCGUUUGGUUAGAAAAAAAAAGAAUACAUUUUUAUAGUGUUUGAACAGAAGGAAAGAUGUUGGAGGUUCUUAUGAAAUAUAGUGAUCGGGUGGGCUCAGUGUGUGGAUCAUUCUAAUUAGAUGGAAGGAUAGGCAUCUUUAGUUUCUUUUCCCUUUUUGUUCCAUCUAGAUUUUGGUAUUUGGCUUUCAUUUCUCUCAAAUAACUUCUCACAGCAUUCUACAAAAUUGUUUGGUAUUUUGUUAAGGCCUUAGCCACAAUUUUAUUUAUCAACUAUGGGGAAGGAUUUGAGAGUUCCCCAAUCUCUCCACACUACUCUAAUGAGAGUCUAUACCAAAAUCAUUUAGCCAAAAAGAUACCCACCCCCAACAUUCACAAUACCUAAAUAGGCAAACUCUAAGAAAGCUAACAGAAUACUUGGCCCCACUUUAACAGUCAUACUCCUAAGGGCCCACCUUACGGGAAAUUACUAACUAACUCUCAAUCAUUCUUUCUUCUUCCCACUUUUAUUCCUAUGUGAAUACACCUUUACUAUGGGGGGUCUAUCAAAUUUGUAUCUGAACAUUGGCAUGUUGCAUUUUUUGUUAUGAAUUAUGCAUAUACAAAAUAAUUGUCUUAUAUUCAAAUGGAUAUAUUAGAAUGUGUCAACUCUCCGGUGUGUCUGUGAACUUUAAGAAUACCUAAUUUUGGUUCCAUUCGUAUGUGAUGGGCCAAUCCAGUCAAGCUGAUUUGAAGUAGGGAAAUAAACACAGUACUCUCAAUCAAAUCUGUCUUGGGAAGCUGUUUCUUUUUAGUCUCCCAUUGGUGUGGUUUUGUAGGACUGACUCAAAUAUCAUGUGCGAACUGCUUGAAAAUGUUUGUACUUGAAAAUUACUUUGUUUAGACUUUAGGGUACCGUGUUUAUUGAACAACAAACUACGUGAUGUACAUGGUUUUAGUUUUUCUUUCUUUAUUAUUAUUAUUUUUUUUUGGUAACUGUGAUAGCAUAGUUUGAUGUAAUAUUCAUUUAUAGGUUAAAUUUAGAACAAGAUUUUUCUCAGAAAUGUUCAAUUUUUUGCAUGCUUGCAUUGAAACUUAGCAUCUGUAGCAUUGACUUUUCUCCUAUACUGUUCUUUCAGAACAAGAGCACUCCCUUCAGUUGACAACCAUGAUAUCAACUGAAAAGGUAUAUCCAUCUUCGUCUUGCACCACUGUAAAUAAAUAUGAUACAUGGUGAUGGGCACUUUUAGUUUUAUACUUAUCGAUAGACUUCAUUAAUAAAUACAUUUAAUAAUACACAAUAUAACGAUAACAAGAUUUCUUCUGAUUUCUUCUCUUCCACAGCCUCUCUUAUAUAUCAGAACUCAAACAGUUUACUCUAGUCAAUACUGUUCCCUGUUAUUAGUCUGCAUAUGUUUUGUUAAUUUUUACUUCCUUUGAAACUUUAUUUAUUAAAUGUUAAUAAGAAAAAAGAUUAAAAAUUAAAAAUGAAGAACACGGAUGUUCUUUAUGUCUCACUUAUUCUUUCAUUAUAUAUGACCUCAUGUAACUUUGUUAGCCAUUUCUUGGUUGAAAAACAUUUUCCAUUACAAUACCAAUUGCUUCCUUAUCCCCUAUGGAUUCAACUCAUGGGUCUUUGAGUUUCUCUAUUUUUGUAUUAAACAUUUCUUAUUUGAGAUUAUACUUUUUGUUGAUGUCAGGAAAAGAACGAAAAUAUCCAAACUCAGCUCGGGCAAUAUAGAAAGAAACAGAAGUUACAAAAUAUGAAUGCCUCAAAUUCUCCUGGUAUGUUCCUAUAAUCAAUCCAUUUAAGGUAUUAUGAAAUUAUAUGUUAUGUACUAAAGGACUGAUCGAUUUUUUCCGUUCUUCACAGAUAAAUCUGGCGUACAUAAUAUUGGCUUGACAAAAGCCACCAAUCGUGUGGUGCCAGUACACCGGAGGUCGGUUUCUCAAAGUUACAUUCAUCACAUAAUUCAAUUGAUUUAUUCCCAAUACUAAUAGAUGUACUUAGCAUUGUAUUUGAACAGGGCGAAAGCUAGGGGUGCCCUUCUGCAAGACUCUGAAGAUGACAAUGGUAGGUAGAGAAGUUGAAUGUCUUGUAUCCAAUCUAGUUUUGUACAGAAUUUUGAUUUCUGAAAAGCUGCUCUAGCCAAUCACUCUCUUCCCUUUGAAUGGAGAAAAAAAAUCCCGUGGUAUUGAGUUCCUCAAUGGUUUGCUUAAAAAGGAACAGGAAAUCCUUGUUUAGGGUCAAGAGGCUAUCUCCCUGUCGUUAUCCCAAAGCUUUAAAACUUUUGUUUCUUCCAUGCAAGUUUUACUUUCUAGCACAUCCACGUUAAAUGAUCUCAUUUUUUCAUAUAUUUUCUUUUAAUCUACACUAAUAGAGAUGUUCCUUCCAUUUUUUUCCCAUUUUUUCUUACAGAAAAAGAGCGCUCCCUUCAGUCGACAUUCGAGGAAAAGGUAUAUUCAGUCUCCUGUCCCCUUUAUGAAUAAAGCACUUUGUCCUUUUAUAGACGGGUUCUUAUUGUCUUGAAAUACCUCAAAAUUAGUACAAGUAUGACCAUAGUCGUGGUGUAUUUUUGGUGCCUUCGGAGCGUAUUUUCAUCUUGCUCAUUAAUUGUUUGUAAAUUUUUUAAUCUACUUUUGAAUAUGUCAGGAAAAGAAAGAGGGGUUGCUAAAUACAGAUACCUUGGCCAUUGUAGACAAUCUUCAUAAGCCUCCUAGUAUGUUUUUUAUGGUUCCCUCUAAAAUUUAAGCUUAUUUGUUUUUAUUGAAAAGAGAGACAACGAGUUCACACCAAUUUACGUGGAAACUCGAGUACCGGGAGAAAAACCACGAUUGUUUGUUGUUAUUAUUUUCUAAUGAAUAAAACAAUAGGUACAGGGAGAAUAAAUAGAGUACACAAUGGAAUAAAAAAGGAAAAGAUUUAGGAAAAUAAGGAAUACAUUCCCAUAAUCUUUCCAUAAUUAUUCUAGGAUUCUAACAAGGAAAAAGCCUAGAAAAAAAGGAAAGAAUUCCAACACUCCCCCUCAAGUUGGGACGUAAAUAUCAAUGAGGCCCAACUUGCUAACGCAAAGUCGAAGUUUGGUCUGAGAAGCCCUUUGGUAAGAACAUCAGCAACCUGUUGACUCGAAGGGAUGUACGGAAUGCAUAUGCUCCCACUGUCAAGUUUUUCUUUGAUAAAAUGUCGAUCAAUCUCAACAUGUUUAGUUCUAUCAUGUUGAACAGGGUUGUUAGCAAUACUAAUAGCGGCUUUAUUAUCACAGAAAAGCUUCAAUGGUGUCUCACAUUCCUGAUGAAGAUCUGUCAAAACUUUCUGAAGCCAAAUUUCCUCACAUAUUCCUAAACUCAUAGCUCUGUAUUCAGCCUCAGCGCUGCUCCUGGCCACAACACUUUGCUUCUUACUCCUCCAAGUUACAAGAUUGCCCCAAACAAAGGUACAAUAACCAGAGGUAGAUUUUCUGUCAACAACAGAUCCUGCCCAAUCCGAGUCAGUGUAUGCCUCAAUGGUCUUUCUGUCUGUUUUUCUAAACAUCAGCCCUUUACCAGGUGUUGAUUUUAAGUAUCUCAAGAUUCUGUUGACAGCUUUCAUGUGUUCCUCAUUAGGGGUCUGCAUAAACUGGCUGACAACACUCACAGCAAAGGAAAUAUCAGGACGAGUAUGAGAUAAGUAAAUUAAUUUACCCACGAGGCGUUGAUACUGUUCUUUAUCAACUGGAACUUGAUCAUCAGAGUUUCCUAGUUUGCAGUUGAAUUCAAUAGGAGUGUCAGUGGGACGACAUCCUAACAUACCUGUCUCGGUUAACAAAUCAAGGAUGUAUUUUCUUUGAGAUACGGAGAUACCUUCUUUAGAUCUGGCCACCUCCAUUCCAAGGAAAUAUUUCAAAUUUCCCAAAUCCUUGAUUUCAAACUCAUCGCCCAUUCUCUGCUUUAGUUGACUGAUUUCUGCCUGAUCAUCUCCAGUCAAAACAAUGUCAUCCACAUAAACUAUUAGAACAGCAAUCUUUCCUGUUUUGGAAACCUUUGUAAAUAAAGUAUGAUCAGAGUGUCCCUGCCUGUACCCUUGGGACUUGACAAAGGUAGUGAAUCUGUCAAACCAUGCUCUGGGAGACUGUUUCAGACCAUAUAUAGAUUUCUGGAGUUUACACACAUGCUGACCAAACUGGGCUUCAAAUCCAGGCGGAGGGCUCAUGUAGACUUCCUCUACGAGGUCUCCAUUCAAAAAGGCAUUCUUAACAUCCAGCUGAUAUAAAGGCCAAUCUUUGUUCACAGCAACAGAUAACAGAACUCUAAUAGUAUUCAACUUAGCAACUGGAGAAAAAGUUUCUGAAUAGUCAAUACCAUAGGUUUGAGUAAAUCCCUUCGCAACUAACCUUGCCUUGUGUCUGUCAAGAGUACCAUCAGCUUUGUAUUUGAGAGAGAACACCCAUUUGCAUCCCACAGUUUUGUGUCCCUUAGGUAGAGUACAAAUGUCCCAAGUACUAUUCUUUUCAAGAGCUUUCAUCUCUUCCAUGACAGCAUUCUUCCAUUCAGGAUACUUUAAAGCAGUGUAGAUAUCUUUUGGUAUUAUGGUAGAGUCAAGGCUUGCUGUAAAAGCUCUGAACUGAGGAGAGAGACUAUCGUAGGAAACAUAAUUGCAAAUGGGGUGUUUAGUACAAGACCUGGUGCCUUUUCUCAGAGCAAUGGGAAUGUCAAGAGAGGAAUCAUACUCAUCUGAUUUUCCUGUAUGACCCUGUUCCGCUUCAUUAUUACGGGUUUCUAUUCUGACCUCAAUCUCAUCACCACUGUCCUUUUCUUCCACGUUUUCAAGAACAGCAACAUUAGACCUGUCAUUCUCACUUAUCAUAUUCUUAGUACAGGGUUCAGUAGGGUUUUCCAUACCUUGAUCUCGAGGAGGUUCAGAGUCUUGGACUGGAGCCGGCGGCUGACUAGUAGGGGAACCGACUUCCUUUUUGUGAUUCCUCCUGUAGUACGUUUUCCAGGGGACUUGGUUUGUGGGUAGGACUAUGGAAUGAGGAAUGAUGUUAGACACGACACUAGGAGUGGGUUCGAUGAAUUCAAAGGUGUUGUUAGACUCUUCACUCACACUCUCCCCCUGAAGAUGGCUAACGGGAAAGUAGGGUCGAUCCUCACAGAAAGUAACAUCCAUAGUGACAAAGUAUUUUCUGGAUGGUGGGUGAAAACAUUUAUAACCACGCUGGUGAGGGGGAUACCCAACAAACACACAUGCCUGAGCCCGAGGGGUAAAUUUGGUUUGAUUAGGGCCAAAAUUAUGGACAUAAGCGGUACACCCAAACACACGAAGAGGAACCUCAGAAACAUGACGAGUCGAUGGGUAGGACUCCUUAAGACAAUCUAAGGGAGUUUGAAGAUGAAGAAUACGAGAAGGCAUUCUAUUGAUUAAAUGAGCUGCUGUAAGAAUAGCAUCUCCCCACAAGUAUGAAGGAAGGGAAGUAGAAAGCAUAAGGGAACGGGCUACUUCCAGAAGGUGACGGUUUUUUCGCUCGGCCACUCCAUUUUGUUGAGGAGUGUAGGCGCACGAGUUUUGAUGAACAAUCCCCUUGGAAGCAAGAAAUUCACUAAGGUUAUGGUUUUGGAAUUCCCGACCAUUAUCACUCCGAAGAAUAGCAAUUUUUUGAUGGAAUUGUGUUUCAAUGGUGUGAUAGAAAUUUUGAAACAUAGAGGAAACCUCAGAUUUAUCAGUGAUAAGGUAGACCCAGGUAAGACGGGUAUGAUCAUCAAUGAAGGUUACGAACCACCGUUUUCCAGAUGAGGUUGUUAUCUUGGAUGGUCCCCAGACAUCACUAUGAACAAGAGUGAAGGGUUGGGUUGGUUUGUAUGGUUGUGAGGGAAAAGAGACUCGAUGUUGUUUGGCCUGAAUACACACAUCACAAGAUAAGGUAGUCAUCUCAACUUUAGAGAAGAGAUGUGGAAAUAAAUGUUUCAUAUAUUGAAAAUUAGGGUGGCCUAAACGAAAAUGCCACAACAUACAAUCUUGUUCAGAAGUAGUGAAAUAGGAAGAUAAGAGACUAGUCCUAGGAAUGCUACUAGAAGAGGUAUCGUCAUCAAGGAGGUAGAGUCCCCUACUAUGCCGGGCAGUGCCAAUCAUCCUCCCCGAGCUCAAGUCCUGAAAAGAGACAGAAUCAGGUAAGAAUAUUGCUUUGCAGUUUAACUCAUGAGUGAUCUUGCUUAUCGAAAGCAAAUUAUAAGAUAGUUUGGGCACAUGCAAAACAUUAUGUAAGGAGAGCCCUGCACAAGGAGAAAUCUUCCCCUUUCCAGCAAUGGGGGCCAAGGAGCCAUCUGCAAUUCUAAUUGUCUCGUUCCCAGCACAAGGAAUGUAAGAUACAAAAUGUUCAGAGGACCCAGUCAAAUGAUCUGUGGCACCAGAAUCCAGAAUCCAGGGGUUCUUCCCAUCAAUACUAACAAGACCGAAGGAAUGAGGUAUACCUGAUUGGACAAUGGCACCUAAAGUGGCAAGACUGAGAUCAGUUUGGUUUUUGUGUGGAUCGGAUUGUUGAGGAGGUUCAGCAGACUCACUCACAUACGCCCGCCCUGUGUUCUGUUUGUCGUUGGAAGGGCGUUUCUUACUUCCUGGGGGACGACCAUGUAACUUCCAACAUUGUUCUUUGGUAUGCCAUUGUUUUUUGCAAUGCUCGCAGACAGGAAUUGGUUUUCCAUUAUGCUUGUCACUGCUACUGUUAGAAGAUCUUGCACUAAAAGCAGCAGAGUCAAUAGUAGGGGUUGCGGAAAUAUUCAUAGCACUUGUGCGAUCUUCCUCGAGGCGGAUUUCAGAGCAAACUUCCAUCAGGGAGGGAAUCGGUCUUUGACCUAGUAUACGCCCUCGAACUACAUCAAACUUAGGAUUAAGACCAGCAAGAAAGUCAUAAAUCCUGUCAUUCUCUUCAAUUCUCGAGUACUGUACACCAUCAGUGGGAUCACGCCAGACUAGUUCUCUGCAUAGGUCCAUUUCUUGCCAUAUAAGAGAAAGCUUAUUGAAAAAGGAUGUGACAUCCAUGGUUCCUUGCUUGCAUUCAUGAACUUGCUUUCUCAGCGUGUAUAGACGAGAGGCAUUCUGACGUUUUGAGUAAAGUGUCUGGGCUGUGUCCCAAAUAUCCUUGGCUGUUGCAGCAAACAAUAACGGCUUGCCAAUUUGAGGUUCCAUACUAUUGAUCAAUAUGGAUCGAAGAAUAGAGUCUUCUGCCUUCCAAUAUCGUUCAUGUGGGUCGCCCGGUAGGGGGCGAGGUAUUUCCCUGUCAGAAAGCUAAAUUUUUGUCGUCCUUCGAGGACCAUCUUUACUGACUGAGACCAUGAGAAAUAGUUGUUGCCAUUCAACUUUUCUCCUGAAAGAUGAUACAUGGAAGACUGAGCCACCGUAUUAGUCACAUAAGGAGAGGAUACAUUAGGGAACGAGUUUACCGGAUUCUCAGAAUACAUCGGUAGAGUGGAUGUCGUCCCUAAGGUAGCCUCAAGUGCUGCUAUCUGUUGUCGAAGCCCUUCCAAUUGUUGAUGAACUAUUCCCGAGGAAGCUUGCACGUUACGGUUGGAAUAUGCCGAAGAUUCACCAACCUCAAAUGUUGAGUGAAUUUGAGAGUUUUUAACAUCGGGAUGGUAGCUAGGAUCAUUGGGUGGCUGGCCAUACAGAUUUGACGAGCAGAAGCGGUGGUAGCCGAUUGGAAUUAGAUGGCAGAACAUAAAUCGGGGCGUGGGGAGCAAUAUAGGCCGCGGACGAAGAAAAGGGUUGGACAGAUGGGAUGGUCGGCGCCGUCUGAGGAAGAAAACCAGGCGCGUGGUGGUCCGGUGACGGCGCGGACGACUGCGGUAAUGACGAAAAAUUAUUUUCGGACGUUUUCUGUAGCCGGCUUAAUAAUUCGUCCAUGGCAGCACUCAUCCGAGCAUCGGUGGCAGCAGCUACGGCAGCACUAAAAUUGAUGGUUGUCCCUUCUGUUUGAUUUUAAUCAGUGGUUUGGUUUUUUUGGGUUUCUAGGGUGUUUUCAUUGUCCCGCUCUGAUACCAUAUUGAAAAGAGAGACAACGAGUUCACACCAAUUUACGUGGAAACCCGAAUACCGGGAGAAAAACCACGGUUGUUUGUUGUUAUUAUUUUCUAAUGAAUAAAACAAUAGGUACAGGGGAGAAUAAAUAGAGUACACAAUGGAAUAAAAAAGGAAAAGAUUUAGGAAAAUAAGGAAUACAUUCCCAUAAUCUUUCCAUAAUUGUUCUAGGAUUCUAACAAGGAAAAAGCCUAGAAAAAAAGGAAAGAAUUCCAACAGUUUUCAAGGUUUAAGAACACUUUUGGUCCCUGAGCUUUCACGAAAGUAAUAAUGUAUUUCCUAAACUUUAAAAUGCAAAAAUUUUGUCUAUUUACUUUCAACUUUGUAUGGACUUUAGUCUCUAUGAUGAAAGUGUUCAUUCAAAUUAAGUGUUAAUUUAUAUUACAUAAUGGCUUAGUCUUCAUAGUUUAUAUGUGAAUUUGAUCAUCAAUGAGUUAUAAACCUACCCGGGUAAGAAACUUAACUCAAUCACAAUAAUAAUUUCCACCAUAGAGAUUUGGUUCUUACUAAUUGUAAAUUACAAGAACUAAAUUGUUACAUUUUAAAGUUAAGGAACUAAAUUGUUAAUACAUUUGCAAGAAUGAGGACUAUCUUUUUGUUACCAACUAAAGUUGAGGGUCAAAAUCGUUAGUUUUAUGCUAGUUUAGGGACGAAAAGUGUUUUUUAAUUAUUCGCUACACAGAACUCAUUAUUGAAUUAUCUUAUUCUUAACAGACAAAUCUGUUCAUGAUAUCGGCUCGACAAAAAUCACCAAGCAUGUCGUGCCAACACAUCACAGGUUGGUUUCUUGACUAAAUGAACCUAAUUUUGUUUGUUAUUUCCCCACGAACGAUGGUAAACAUACUGUAGCAUUGUACUUGAGCAGGGCAAGAACACGAGGUGCCCUUCUGCAAGAUAACGAAGAUGACGAUGGAAGGUAAAAAAAACAAGACAGUUUCAAAAUGUUGAGUCCUUGUGUUCAAAACUAGUGUUAGACAUGGAGUAGGUAAACAAAAUAAUAGAUAUGAUUGUGCAAUGCAGACAUUUCUUUGUUGUAUAUGAUUACGUAAUUCUCAUCUAACUUUGGCUUUCUGCUCAAUUUAGAUUCGAAAAUGUGUAAAUUUUCGAAUGACGAGUAGAUACAAAUUUGAAAUAUAUUGUGCAGCUUAAAACAAGUCACAGUGUGAGACUUUUCAUUAAUUUCUCAAACAAAUCAGCACUUGUUGACAACUUUAUAUUACCAUAUGAGUUAGCUUGAAAAAUAUUAUUAUUAUUAUUAGAAUGUAGAACACAUUUUAAUUUCCAAUAUAUCACGUUCUACAAUUUUUUAAACAUUUAUUUUCAAAACUCUUGACUUUUCUUUAGAAAAAACCAAAAGCUUUUGUUCCAAUAUAUCAGGUUGUAGUCUUUGGCCCUUGAAUUUUGUUAACAUUUAUUUUCAACUAUAUUGACUCUUUCUUUAGAAAAAAUAAAAAAAAAAUUCAAACGAUUACCGAUAAUAAAAAUAGAUAAAGAUAUAAUUUGAAAGAUAUUUAUGAAUAAGUUUAUGAGUAAAAAUAGAUAAAGAUAUAAUCUAAAAGUCGUAUCAUUAAUAAAAGUUUAUCAAAUCAAAAAAUUUAUUACGAAAAAAAAAUAUAGAUAAUCUAACGAAGAGGGAAUCCAAAAAUGAUGAUGUAAAAAGGAAUGAAAAAGCAUUAUCCCCACACUUUAGUUUCUCGUACAAUGAGAACCAUCCAAAUUGUGACAAAGACAGAAAUGAGAUAAGCACAAACCACCAUUAUUGCAAUACAACAAUCAACUAAACUCAAACUCACUCACUCACCUAGACACAACUUUUAAUGCACUCUUUUUGAAAAAGCUUUCCCAAACAAAAGAAGAAGAAAAAAAAACUUAUAUAAUGUGUUGUAUACAAAUUAUUUAUGUUUAUAUGCAGAGUUGCAUUCAUGAACCACUGAUAUAUAGUGAAACUGAUAUGAGUUGUAACUUUUGUAGUUCUAUUUCAUUGGUGCCUCAUAUGGAAGUGGUGGUGAUUGGUGGGUCAUAUACUCAUUAAGAACAAAAAUAAUAAUAAAUCAAAUGAAAAAGUUACUUUUUACUUUUUAGAAAAAGCGAUUGCAAAUGACUAAGUAAUGGAGACAUUGAUAGGUCUAUCAAUAUAUUUAUAUAUAUUAGGUGAGGCAAUUGGAUUAGAAUGAUAAAAUAGCAACUUUUAUCCAAUCAAUUACUUUAUAAAUGUUAAAAGAAGAACGAAGAAAGAGUUGUUUUUCAAAUUAAGCAACAUAAACUCUAUAUUUUGACAACAAAGUUAAAAAGAUAACUUUAUAUUUUUCUUCUUCUUUUAUAAAGAUAUGAUUGAACAUACACCAUUUCAGGAGGUGUCGGUGUCCACUAACAUUAUGCCCAUCCCAUGGUUGCUUUCAUUUCAAAAGGAUCAAAAUUUGGAUAUGAACUCUUACAUUUUGCCUUUUGGUGUUACCUAACUUUUCUUUAAUUAAAAUUAAAGUGUGUUUAGUUUGGAGCAAUUCUAUGUUCGGUGACUUUUUGAAAAUUUUCUUAGAAUGGAUGUGAGUGAAAACAAAACAUGCUGAAAUGACUCUAAUUGGUUCGUGGAACAACUUUCACUCUAAUAAGUCUUUAAGACAAGUAAGAAUGAUAUUGUCAAGUCGCAAGUAAUUAGACGUUACAGAUAUAUAGUUUUAUUUAUAUAUAAACACAUAUCUACAUUAGUGAGGGUCAUACGUUUUACAGAGUGUUUGUAUUUACUCAGUAACACUAAUAUCAUUUUCACACAUUUAAAUUUAUGCACGUUAUAGAUUUUAUUAGGUAUGUAUACAACUUAAUAACACUAGUAAGUAUAAUGUUUUGUUGGUGUAUAUACAUAUAUACAUAAUACGUCUACGUUUUUGCAGAUUAUUGAUUUAGUAACUUUCUUUGGGUGAAUUCAAUUUGUUUUUUUUUGUAACAAAACUAAAUUGUAAAGUCUAGUGUUAGAAAGUAUGGUUUCUCUCCUUCACCCUUUGUUUAAUAAUUUUAAUAAUUUUAAGUUUUAAUAGAUUGUGUUCAUAUUAAGACGAUGGCAUAAGCAGAGUUGGGUGUGGGGCACCGCCGUCACCACCACUACCAAUCUUCAACAAAUCACUUUAACGACGUAUGGGUAAAGGCAGUUAGUAUUAUUGGGUUAAUCAAUUUUAAAUACAUCUUGUACCACUAAAUUCUUUUACUUUAUUAUCUGUUUUUUACCAAACCAAAUCUUUCUUACACUACAAGAGUUUUUUUUCUUUUUCUUUUUUAUCUUUAUAAAAAAAAUACAAACCAUCAUAAUAAGAAAUUAAGAAAGAAGUAAAAGUUAAAAAUCAAAGGUUAAUCAAACGGAUCUUCAAUGUUGAGCUAUUACCAUUUAUAUCCACGAUUUGUUUAAAUAAUAUUUAAAUUCUAAGUCUUCAGUCAUUUUGUGAUUGAGUAAUUUUUAAUAUCAUCCUUCAGAAAAGAAAAGGAUUAGGAUUAGGAUUGUCCUAAUGGGAGUGGGAGUGGGAGUGGGGAGUAGAGAAUUUUGUGAGGAUGAAGAUGGGAUAGGGGGGCGGGGACGGGGAUCGGUAGUGGCAUCCCCGGCCCUCCUCGUCCCGUGGACAUCUCUACUCCUCAUCCCCGUCCCUCACCAUUAAUACCGCGCAUAAGGAGUGAUCCAUUUCCGAUAACGAAAAUCGUGCGUGGGGAAUGGUCCCAACGCUCGACGCGCAAGUGAAACCGUCGUGUGUCGAGUGAUGGAUCUUACAAGGUGGGUGGGAGGGGACGGGGGGGGGGGGGGGGGGGGGGGGGGGAAUAUUUAUAAUUUUAAUUAAGAAGGAUAGAUAUUGAAGAGAGGAAUGAGAAAUUAGAAUGAAAUCAAAACAUUAUAUGGUAGAUGAAACUUAACAUAAAUCAAAGCACAUAGAAACUAAAUAGAAGAGAGAGAGAGAGAGAGAGUUGGAUGAAUUCAUUUGUUGGUGGUGGAGGAUGAGUUGGCGGCGAUGCCGAAGUUGCCUGUGGAGAGAAAUUGGUUUUUGAGUGCGCUCCUCGACGCCGGAUAUUGAGAAGAAUAGGAAUAACCCGGAUAUGGAGUAGUACAUGGUUUCGAUUUCCGUUCGGCGCCGGACUUCAUUUUUUCUCCGUCUUUGUCUUUUGAUUUUUGCUUAUCGCUUCUCUCACUCAUCUUUUCCCCUUUCAUAAUAUUAUCUUCCACCUUCCAAAUAAUAAUAAUUGAGCUUGAGCCACCCACGCAUUUAUAACCUUAAUUUUACACGUGUCUUUUUCUUUUUACUCUUUUAAAUUUUCCAUAAAAUUACAUAUUCUAUAUACAGCUUACCUUCAUAAACCCUAUCUACUGUUGAAUCACUUUAUCUUUACUAUUUAGGAUAAUUUUCUAUAAUCAUAAAGGCAGAUGAAAUUUUAAUUUGGUUGCUAUGAUUCCAAAAAAAUAUAAU